RNAcentral lists this long non-coding RNA (75652 nucleotides) under Citrus maxima (pomelo). Its description in RNAcentral is "long non-coding RNA (CMAX_LNC001420)". Lineage: Eukaryota; Viridiplantae; Streptophyta; Magnoliopsida; Sapindales; Rutaceae. The record is from RNAcentral.
AGGUUGCUUUCCCUCAAUUGGGGAAUUUAAGACUGUCUGGAUUACACAAAGUGCAGCAUCUCUGGAAGGAAAAUGACGAAUCCAACAAAGCGUUUGCAAACUUGGAAAGGCUAGAAAUAUCGGAAUGUAGUAAGUUGCAAAAAUUAGUACCACCUUCGUGGCAUUUGGAAAAUCUUGAGGCUUUGAAAGUAUCGAAGUGUCACGGGUUGAUAAAUAUGUGGACGCUCUCAGCAUCUAAAAAUCUAGUGAAUCUCGGAAGAAUGAUGAUAGCUGAUUGCAAAAUGAUAGAAGAAAUCAUACAAUUGCAGGUUGGAGAAGAAGUGAAAGGCUGCAUUGUCUUCGAGAAAAUGAACUACUUGACACUUGAUUGUUUGCCAAGCCUAACAAGCUUUUGUUCGAGUAAUUACACUCUUCAAUUCCCAUUCUUGCAAAAAGUUGUUGUGAGACAGUGCCCAAAGAUGAAGAUUUUCUCUCAAGGAGUCAUAGACACACCAAAUCUAAACAAAGUGAAACUCACCGAAGAAAAAGAUGAUGAUGAUGAAGGAUGUUGGGAAGGCAACCUCAAUGCACCAUAAAAAAAUUGUUCAAUGAAAUGGUGAGUAUCAAUUAAGUUUUGGUGCUAUUUAGCAAAUUAUUUUAUAGAAACUAAUGUGAUAUAAUAUGAUUGGUUGACUGAAAAUAUAUAAUAAUAAUAAUAAAUAAAUAAAUAAAUUAUGAGGGCCAUGUAAUGUUUUUGUUUAACCAAUCAUAUUAUGUCGCAUUAGUUUAUAUAAUAUUGUUUGUGCACAAGAGGUGGUGGUCAUAUCAUUACUCUAGCUUUAUUAUUCUUAUGGUGGCAAUGUAUGCUUGCUUACACGAGUAAUUUACAAAAUCUGCAGAAUUCUAAAGAAGAGAUUGAGCCAGCCCUUGAGGUACAGUGAAGAAGCUAUCUCGAACCAGGCCAAUCUCUUAUACAUGAUUCAGCUUGCUCGUUCUUCUGUACUUGAAUAAUCUGGUUCUAAACGUAUUUACAAUUUUUUGGUCAUGCUACAGACUUGCAAGACACUUUGGAUUUUGUUUGAUGCAUUCUCCGUUUAAGGAAGCACUUGAAUUGAUGUUUCAUGUUUCAUGCAAUAUCCAAUUAGAUUCUGACUAAAUUUCUGUGUUAUUUAUUCAAUUGGUCUUUUAAGCAUUUGAUUUCUAACCUGUCCUAAUAGAAGAUCAUUAUCUGAAGAAAACAGCAUAACAUUUGUGGCAUUAUGAGAAUAAGAAUUUUUUUGAGUAUAGUAAAAUUAUCUCGACCAUUGUUAAAAAGAAUUAAUCCGUCAAACUGACCUUCUCAGACCAGCACGCUUUAAAUUAAAAGAAUUUUGUGAAAGUCUAGACCAUGUUAUAGAUCUCGUGGAAAUAAGAAAACCCGUAAUUUUUUUCACAGCAUCAUAAGAAAAAAUCAUUUUUUUUUUAGUAUUUUUGUUAGCUGUUGAGUUUUAAUAGUAGUAGCUAUUAAACAAGAACAAUAUGUGUAUAUUAAAAAGUUGGAAACUGGUUGAUAGCACUUGGGAGUCGAGCAGUUCACUUGUUUGCGAGUAGAAACCAACUUUACUACUAAUUACACUCAUACAAAAAAUAGUAACUAAAGAAUCAGGAAAUUUCCUAUUCACUAUUCUUCAUUUUUUAAUGCAAAAUUCCCAUUCGAAAACACCAAUGACUUUCAUUCAAAGUAAAUGAGAAAUUACAAUGAAAAUAGAAUCAAAAUACAUGUAUGUAUACCUAAAACAAAUGAUUUUUUAAUUUAAAAAAAAAAAAACCCGGUUGAGGUGAAAUGAAACCAGAGUCAUGAUAUCUCUGGUUCCAACUUUGGGACAACAGCAGACUUGAGUUCUAUAUGAGAAACACGUACAGCACCAAUCAGCCGCUCCAGUAAUUCAUCUGUAGUAUUUGCCUGCAUACAAAAGAGCAAGAUAAAGAAGACACACACGAAGCAUUAUACCAUUCUGAGAACAUUCAAGUAUGCAAAAAUGCAAUUUAAAAUGCAAAUUGCAGUGCAAUAUCUCAAAAUCAUGUCUUUUCCCUUGUGUCCAUUUAGAAGUGGGGGAAAAAAACAAUCAUACAUACCUGUACAAGGAAAGCCAUGUCAACCACCAAUGUCGUAAUUACACCAAUUACAAGGCCCAAAACUCCAUUAGCAACAGUAGAAGAACCGAUGUCAACAUUAAUCUACAGAAAGAUGAACAAUGUUAAACCAUGUUAAUGGUAUCGGACGCUAUUUGAAAGGGGAACAAUUCAUCUGUAGUUACAAUCAACCGCUUUCACUAAUGAACAAGGGGUGCUUCCAACACUCUUGGCGCACGAUCCAUGACCCCUGCAUGAUUCAGUGCUUAAAAUCAAGAACAAGUGCAAAACAAAUUCAAGAGGGUAAAAUGGACAUGAAGUUUGAAGGUACAACCCAUCAAUACAUUUACACCUAAAUGCAUGCCUUCUUUGGACAAAUUGAAGUGUACCAUGCAGUAAAGGGUUAGUAUACGUUAAUAUAGUCCUAAUACAUGAAGGCCAAGAUGGAUACCUUAGGAACAGAUGGAAUCAGUUUCAACCUACUAUUGCGAAACUCAUCAUCGCCAUCAACAAACCGUUGCAAAAGUGAUCCCAUAACCAAUUGCCUUGCGACUAAAUAAAAUACCAUACUAUAAUGUGUUGAUCCAGGAACCUGCAGAUGCUUAGGUUACAACUAUACAACCUCCCAAUACAAUAAGUUUGAAACUUAAUACCUUCUGAAAUGAAACAAACUUACUUGAAGAUUAAAGAUCAGCGAGAAAAGCCCUUUUUCAGAAGCAACCUACAUUUUUUAGAAGAGGGUCAGUGUGUUAUAGAUUCAAUGAACCAUGAGAAGUUAUUUACAUUGUAGUAUCUCACAGGCAGUAUUUUCUCCUAAUGCAUCAAUGGAAAAGGAAAAAUAAAAAGAAAAGAAUAGUUACUUGUGCAGCACAGCCUUGACGCCUAGCUACAUGGUCCAUUCUCUUUGUGUCUUUGAACCAAUCAACAGCAACAAGAUCCAUUAAAUGUUUUCCCGCAGGUAUCUGCAGUUACAAAUUGCACAAAGCACAAGAAGAGCCAACCAAACUACAUCAUAACCUGUCUACCUAGCCUAUGCAGGAUAUAUAAAUACCAUAACAAACAAACAAAAUAUGGGGGAACCUUUGUUUUGUCAUAACAAAAAUGCUUGCUACGAACUCUAAAGUUAUUUCCAUCAGAAAGUUUCCAGCAGUCACGAGCAUUAUCACAGUCAUCGUGUCGUAGAUUGCCCGAAAAACAAGACAAAUCAAUUUGAUCAGCCUGCUCUUCCUCUAGGGCUGCAACUAAUUGAAAUUUUUUUUUAAAAAAAAAAGAUCAAUACCAUAAAAAUCCACUAGCCAAAUAUACAAAAAUGAAUACUUAUCAUCCACCUGUCCUCUUGAAAUCAUUCUCAAUCUUUUUUUCAUUUGCCUGAAAUCCCAAGGAAAAAUAUGUAACUAAUACUUCCCAUUCAUGAAUAUUGUCUAUCGUAUAAACAUGACAUUUUUAAUUGGAAUAAUAAAAUUAUUUAAUUAUUUUAAUUAAAUGUUAAUCCUACAAAUUAUUUUUGUUAAAUCUAGCAAGAAUAACUAAAAUUUCUUUAAGAUAUAUUUUGGUGGUAAAUUAAAAAAAAAUUAAUUAUUUGGCGGGAAUUAUUGAAAUUGGAGCCAUUUUUUUUGUGGGAAUUGAAAUAUAUUCUUUAAAUUAUUACAUAAAUAGCAAAAUGUACAUACACACACAUACAUAUAAUUCAUAUAUAAAAAUUCUCUAAUUUGUUCACAAGUACCAUAGAUUAUAAUUCAGUUAUGAAAUAAAAUAACUACAAUAAUUAUAGUUAAAUGAAUACUUCAUUAAUUCUUAAUUUGCUUCCUAACAUUAAAUGAACAACUUGAGUCAGCCACCUGAAUUAACCAGUAACAAUGCCUGAGUCAACUAUCUGAAUAAACCAGCAACCCUAGCUGAUUCCAGCACCUGCAAUUAACAUCAGCACAACAGGAACAAUCUUAAAUCAACACCAAGAACAGACCAAACUGCCAUCAAAUGUCACAAAACCAAACAGUCUGCUACUGCCAUCAAAUGCAAGCAAACAUAUGCAACAAAACCAGAUGCAAGUGAAAUUCUGGAGAAUAUCGGAUAAACCAAACCAAAUAACACACUUCUAGUAAUUAGACUAGAUGCAGUGUUCAAUUAAACUAAAUGUAGUCUCAUAUUACAUUCAAAAUUUCUAAAAGAAGCAGUGUUCCAUCAGAGAAGCACCAAAACCAAACCAAUCUAAUCCAGCAUAAUUACCAGCUCAACCCAAAACAAUUACACAUUAUAUUGACAUAUCAAAAUUCGCUAUCAAAACAUAGCCAAAUAAAUGAAAAUAAACUCAAAACAGACCCAAACCAACUGAUGUUGCGGCCCUAGUAGUCGUUGUCCGUUCCACUGCCAUGGGAGCGAGGGUAGGCUCCGUUGUCGAUGAGUGAGUAAGAUAAGGCUCCAAAUCAAUAGUUCCACCUCCUUUCUGCAAUUCAAAAAACAGAAAUUCAUAUAUGUAAAACUAUUAAAAAGUGUGAAACAACCUGUAAGUAUUCAACUUCUGUCAACUCAAUAGCACUUACUAAAGUUUUUAUACAGAAGAAAAAGGCAUUUUAAGUCCAAAAAAUUAGAAUUAUUGGUUGAACUCCAACUCCAUCAAUCCAUGCAACCAUCCAAUCUUUAACGAAAAAUGAAGCAUAAUUAACCAGACAUCUGAAUCAGAAAGAUUGUGCUUUCAUUUGGCACGAGGUGUUGGAAACAACUUAACAAAUCUAGACACAAUCUAUAACCAUCAUGUCCAAACAAAAGUCAGGAUCUAAAAUACUUUGAAAAAUCAGAAAAACAGUUUCAAUUUCUUUUUCAUCCAUUGUAAGCUCAAACUAAAGGUAGCCACGAUACCUUUAAACAUCAUUUGGGCUUAUACAUGCGACAUUUGCUCAUGAACAACUAAAGUUGAAUAAGAUUUUUAUAUGAAACAGAAUACAAAAGUCAAAGUAGAAUAUGACAGGAGCUACAAUAUAUUAUUCAGCAUCAGCAUUAUGUAUAAAAUAAAUUUAGAGGCAUUAUAUUCAUUCACAAUCUUGCAGAGGUAACACCAGAUUAUGGCACGCAUCUCUUGAAUAGCAGAUAAAGGAGGAGAUGCAGUGGGAAGGUAGUAACUUGCUUGCAUGAGAACUAGAAAGUAAUAUCCCAAGAUCAAUUAUAGAUCUCAUAAAACAAAAACAGUGAGGCAAACACAAUUAUACAAUCCAUCUGUCAAAAGGCUAAGCAAAUGAAUAUACAAUCAACACCAUUCUUCCAAACGAAUAUACAGUCAACACCAUUCUUCUAAACACAAACAAAGUUUGAACGUAUGACAGAUUUUUAGCCCUUUAAUAUUCCAUCAAAGAUAAUUAGAUAACACCUACCAAGGAUUUUUGAAAAGAAUGCAUUCUCAUCUUAAGCAGCAACCUCACCAGUAACACAUUUUCAUACCCUGUUUCCACCUCUGGUCGCACCACCAAAAAAAUUCAGUACUAAUUAGCUUCAACAGAAUCUAUUUUUUAAUUUCCUUUUUUUUUUUUCAAAAUAAACCUCCAUUCUUAUACAUAAAAUUAAAAUAUCAAUUAAAUAAACAAAGUCUAUGCUUACUAGUAAAACACGUCCAUUUUUAGGUAGAGGCAGAUAAUAAAAGAAAAUUGAAACUGAGAUAAAAUAAGAAGAGCUUACUAGGUGCAUUUGAUCAACAAUCCAAUCCUCAACGAUGGAAUCGAUGCCAUCAAAUAAACAUGACUUAAUCUUGAAACCACAAACUGCACUAAGCAUAGCACCAAAGCCAGAGCGUGACUAUAAAGAAGAAGAAAAAAGAAGGCAAAGAAGAAUUAAAUUAACAUGAAAUUCAACUGGAACAAUACAAAAUAUGAAAUUUUUAGCAAAUCUUACUAGCGUUAGGGUUAAGGCUUACCAUAGGGAACUGGAUGGCGCUAACUAAAUGACAAGUUGAAACGGCAUCUGCAAUCGUAUUGAAUGACAUUGAACCGCGAGGUAGGGUUUAAAUGAAUACCGAGCAGAGAUAAAUUGGUGUGGUGAAUUAGGGUUUUGUGGCUACGUUUUAUUUCGAUUGAAAAAAGGAAUUUGAGCUUUUGCUUUAAUACAACGGUGUCGUUAAUUUAAACAUUCAUUUUAGGUUGCAGUGGCCAGUGGAGAGAGGGGGAUUCAUUCAACGCUUAGCCAAAAUUUGGCUGUAAGUGUUGAUGUGUUUUAAGUUAUACAGAACGGUGUCGUUAAUUUAAACAAUACUGUUUUACAAUCUUAUAAGAUCACAAAACCUAAGCAUGACUUAUAUGUAUCAUUUAUUUAGGACGGUUAAGUUAUAAGUCAUGAAUAUGUCAUAUAUUCUGGACAUAUGAAUAUAUAUUAUGAAUCUAUUAUAUUUUUAUGACACAUUCGUGACACAAUGAUAUAUGUCAUCAAAUUUAUGUCAUUAUUUAAUAUUUUUCUAGUGGUGUCAGAUUUUUGAAACAUUUUUGUUAAUAGCAAAAACUCUAAUCCUUUAGCAAAAGACUAAAAAUUAAAAAAAAAAUCUGUUUAAAUAUCAGUUGGCUCAUGAUCAACACUUCAAUACUGUUUGUUGUAUUUUCUUUCUUUCUUUCUUUGUCAUUUUAUUAGAUUUUUUUUGUAUCAUAGUUUGUUUUGCUUAAGUAAUUGUUCAUUGUUUAUGUCUGUGUUCUUACUAACAGAGUAAAAGAUUUUGAGAGAAUGAAUUGCACCCUUUUCCAUUGAUUGUAAGACUUUUAUAUGCAGCAAUAUAUAUAACAACUGUGCCUAUUUUAAAGAGAUAAGAUAACAGAAAGAUAUACUUUACAUUUGAAUUAGUUUGAAUGAGUAAACUAGAUAGGUCCCAUAUUCUAAGAGGAGAAUCUGCUGACACUUACUGGCUUUUGAUAAUUUAUGGUUGGUUUUUUAUUCAGACCCUCGAAGUACCUUUUUGUUAAUAUUAAAACCUCUGAUCCUUAAGAAAGAAAAAGAAAUUCUCUAUUUAGUUAUUAGUUAGUUCAAGAUCAAUAUAGCGAUAUUGUUUGUGGUCUUUUCAUUCUCUAUCUUUCCCUCUAGUUCAUUUUAAUUUAUUUGUAUUCCUUUCUUUGACACUUGUAUUUAUAUAUAUAUAUUGUUAAGCAACAGGCAAUGGCUGUUGAAGGGUGUCUCCCUGCUUUUUCCAGCAUUGUAUCACAAGGUUCAAAAGCAUUAUUCGAACCGAUUAUGCGGCACAUAUCUUAUGUGUUCGAUUACCAAAGCUACAUAGAUGGGCUAAAAGAUUGAGUGAAGGAGCUGGAAUAUAUAAGAGAAAGGGUGCAAACGCUGGUUAGAGAGGCUACUCUACAAGGAGAUGAGAUUUAUAAGGGUGUCUGAGACUGGCUAAAUAGAGUUGCUGAAUUCAGUGAAGGGGUUGCAAAAUCCAUCAUUGAUGAUAAAGAUAGAGCUAAGAUAGAGCUAAGACUGAGCAUGAUUGCAAAUGCACGAUUGCAAAUGCAUUGGAUCAAUUAAGAAGUUCCAAUCUAGGAGAAAUUCAAGGAAUGCGUGCAGAUGUAUAAACCUCCAUAAAAUUGUUACGACUUGAAGGAUUGUAUAUAAGCAUUAAAUUGAUCUAAUUUAAUUUGUAUGUAAACAUUAAAUUGUAUAUAAAUACACAGAACAGAACCAUAUCAGUGUUGGAAAAAAAAAAAAAGAAUCCAGAGUUAUAUAAAUUCAAUUAAAAAUUACUGAAUUUUUUAUUACUAACUUUGAACACUCUAAUUUCAAUAAAAAAAUUAUAUUACUAAAAUAGUCUUAAUUGAAUUUACUAUUAAAGACAUUAGAAUAACUCAACACUAAUAUUCUAAAAUAUAUUUCUCUCCAUAGUCUAAUCUAAUCCAUUCUAAGAAUCCUAUAGAAAAUAUAUUAUUUACUUUUUCCUUAUUAAACACAAAAACAUGUCAUUUUGUUGCUAACUAAAAUUUUGGAACUAACAACAUCAGAUUAACAAAAUUAUCAGAAAAAGAAAUCAAACAAGAUUUUAAUUGUCGUCAUCUUCACUCUUGUCUUUUUCUUUUUCUUCACACAUGUGGCUUGCACACGCAUUCCCCUCUCUCAUCCUUAGGGCCGCCCUUCAACAAUAUCCAAUCAUCGAUUAUAAUUAUUUAGAUUGACCAAAUCAAGCAUUGAUCAUAUAUUGGUUGAGGUUAGAAAUAGGCAGGCAGCAGCAAUAAUACUACUAAUUAAUAUCUCAUGAGAAUUUUAAAGAAAAAUCUAACGUUGUCAAAUUCGUUUGAUUUCAAUGAAGUCUUUCUCCUACUUAUACUUUCACAUAUUCUCUUUUAUUUCCAAAGUUAAGGUUAUGGAUGUUGUAGAGUAAAAAGAUGAACAUUGCUAGGAAAGCAAUAAAAGGAAAUAAAUAAAAAUUAAAAAUAUAAAAAGAGUUAAGUCAUUUUUUUUUCUAUUAGUGUUUUUGUAUUUAAUAACGAAAGAUAAAAAUAAAGUAGAUAUUAUCUAUUGGAUUAUUAAAAUAACACAGGUAUAACACAUGUCAAAAUCUCGUUAUUAUAAUAUUAGAAAAGAUUAAAUUAGGAGAAUAUUCAAAUCGGCGAAAUAAUUAAUAAAUCGUAUUUAUUAAUCAUCCACCCAAUUCAUGCAUACCCAAAUGGCCGUCAACGAGCUAACCAAAUCCCAGCUUGUUGUAAUCUGGGUUGGGCUUUUUGGGCGAUAAUUAACUGCCCGAGCUGCUCAUCUACCCCAAUAGAGCCUAACAAAAAUUUUCGCCUAAGCUUCACAAAAAUGUUCAUAAAUCUUUUUUUUUUUGGUAUCAUAAAAACAUAAAUUUAUUUCAAACACUUUUGGAGCUUAAUAAAAAUUUCCCAACAUUUCAUCUGACAAAGGUAGUUUAAAAGUGUAUUCGUUAAAUUCUAAAAUACAUACUUAAAAUCUUUUAGUGACAAUCUAAUUAUAAAUUAAGGAUCUAUUUGGGAUUGAGAUUGAACAGUUAAAAUGUUAUAGUUGUUGUAGUUUAGAAGUUAAGAUGAUUUGAUUUUACACUUAUAUGAUAAAAAAUUUAUUAUAUCUUUUCUAAUUUUAUCAAAAUUAUUAUUAAAAAAUUAUAUUUAUUAUAUACUAUUAACUUUUAUUUUAUACUUAAAACUUUUUUUUCUUACGGCAAAAGUUUUAGCACCUCAAUACCCAACCAAGUCUAAAACUGCACAAUAAUAAUUAUGAGUGCGAAUGUUAAAAUCUACACACAUUCGUACUUGAUAAUUUCAAUCAACAGUGUUACAAACUUAAUUAAAAUAUUAUAUCUGAAAUUAUUGAGGGGAAAAAAAAGAAAAAGAAUGUUGUUUUCAUGAUAGUGACAUGUGUCGUGCACAUUUUGCUGUUGGCUCUUUGGUCUCUAACCUAGCGAAUAGGUUGUUGUGUCCUCGUUGUUAGAUGCCCGAACAGCAGCGCAAGAACUUUGUACUAUACCAUAUAUUUUAUGAAGGUGGUGAUGUUACAAAUAAAGACGAGUAAUAAACCAAACGGCGUCGCUUUGCUAGCCUGUUAGAACUAUCAACGCGCUCUGCCGCCCUCUCGUUCCAUUUAUUCAUUUAACCCGGUCAGGGGAUUGGCGAAUUAAAUAAACAACAACAGUCGUCCGAUCCACACAGAUCGCCACUCAUAUUUAAUCCAACGGCUGGGAUAUGAACCCCUCUAUAACUUUUAUUUGUCGAAUCAGCCGCUCUCUCUAUUUAAAUUAAUUUUUUUUUCAACAGCCGACGAGUGCUGACGUAUCAGAGACGCCCCAUCAAUCAAUAAAAAAAUCAAUUGAAAAGGACGGUAUAGUGAGUGGAAGAGAAAUGCCAAUGGCAGAUCAAGGGAUGAAGAUACGAGCUCACUUGCAACGAGGUAUAGUUCAUCAUGGCUUUCCUAUAAGUUCAGGUCCUUAUGAAUACUUUCAAUGAUCUUAUUAGUCAGAAAUUCAACAAUAAUUUUUACUUUUUACAUCCAGGAACAGUUUUAAGCACAAGCAACUCAGGUGGUCAAUAGGCCUCAUAUGUUAGCAAGGUCUCCGUUUUGGUCACUUAAGUCCCAUAUGUUAGGAAGACUCCCUUUUUAUUUUUGGUAUUACUUAUAAUAGCAAAUCCUCUUUUUUAGGCCUCUUUUUAUUUAGUAAUUAUCUUAUAAUGAAGAAUUUUGUUACACAUUUUAUAUUUGAUAACCUUAAUAUUAAAGAUCUCUAAUUGAUAGUAUUAUCUAAUUGUUAAUUUAUUAUUAGUUUUUCCAAAAAAAAUAAAUUCUUUAUCUAUUUAAAAAGGUUAAUUAAUUAACAUUAUAAAAAAUUUUGUGAUAUUCUCUACACAGAAAAUUAUUACAUUUAUUACUUCACUUCUGAAUUAAAAAAAAAAGAUUUAUUGAAAUAAUAGUUCUAGAGGAGGUAAAAAAGAUAUCUUCUUGAUUAUUUUUCUUUUUUGAACAUUUUAACUAUCUUGUUGAUUGUUAAUAUUCACGAUAUAGUUAAAAAUUGAUUGAAUUCUAAGCUCUUUUAUGUUUCUUUAGGUGUUGAAGCUGCUGAAUGUAGGGAGCCCUCGUAAAACAAUUCCCAUAAUGCCCCUAAUACUCUAAGGUCGACCCUGUGUAUAUCAUAUUAUUGAAAAAAAAUUGCUUCAAUACAGUAUGUGGUAAGGUUUAAUUUUAUAUGAAUUUAAGCUGAAGUUGGUACCUUUUAUUGUUUAAUACCGUGACAUCAGGGAAAUUUUUAAUAGGUCUUCAUUUUAGGCUAAAGUACCCGAACAAUACUUCCCAUGCACUUUGUGAUCUUAUUACAAAAUCUUAAACUAAAUAGCUGUGGAAGUAACAAAGAGGGCAACUUUUUACUAUAAUGUGAUGAAAAUAAUUCAUUUGUCAUCACGAACUAACCAAAUCAAAACAAAAAACUAAUGAUCAUAUGGUUCAAAUCUGUGCAACAAUGGUGCAUUUAAAAGGAAAUAAUGUACAGAUAAAAUUUGUGCUUGUAACAAGAACUCUUCUCUUCAAGCCAACAAUUCCACCUAGCAGAGAGAAGUGUUUUAGGCGACACUUUCCAACUAAUGAAAGCAGUGAGCUCUCAAACUCUGUUAUCAUUUUCUACUACUUGAAAAAGAGAGAAAGAGAAACGAGAGGAAAAACAUGGCUCCUCUGUUUUCAUUUUGGUGAUUGCAAAUAACAUUUUUUUUUUACUUUUACUCUUUAUUUAUUUAAUUUUAAAAAAAAAACUUUUAGCUCAUUAGAUCUUGUUCUUGUUAAUGCUUCUAGUAACUUAUAUGAUGAUCUGAUCAUAUCCGUAAAAUUAACAUACCCAUAAUCCAUUAUUUUAUAAUUAUAAAACUUGAAAAUUCGGUCAUGCAAUUUUGUAUGAUGAACAGUGUGUUCAUUUUUUCUGUGAAACAUAAGAACAAUUUGUAAAUAAUGUCCAUGCGGACCUUGUAAUAGCGAAGCAUCAUUAUUGAUCUUACUUUGAUGAUCGCACUUUAGUUUCUUUUUAAAGUGCCUUUUGUUUAUUUUAUCGGCAUCCGCUUUUACAAAAGUUUUGGUCCUCGUUCAUUCAUCAAAGCUUCUACUUUUAUCUUUUAUUAGGCAUCUUAUAAAAAGCUUAAUUUAAUUGGAAUCAUGUUCGGUAUGAAGAUUGUUUUACUUACUUCAGCAAUCUUUCAAUCAACCGAAUUUAUUCUUUUCUGAUCUGGAAAUUAUUCAUGAAAAAAUAGGCGCGUCAGUAGGACAACAGGGACCAAGUACAUAAUAUGAAAAUUCAUUUGUAUUGCUUACUCUAAUAAGCUCUUAACUCACACAUUCCUCUGCAGUUACCAGUGAUCUUUUGCUCACUAAAAUUGUUAUUAUAUAUUCAAGGUGAAUAAAGAAACUCAUCAUCCCAGAUAAUUAAAGAGGUGAACUUGUUCUAAAUCCUUUAAUAAUUUCUAUUAAUAAUAGCAUAUAUAAUCUCUAAUCCUUGAUCUUGGUAGUAGUUCUUUCUUAAUGUCCAAGAAAAAUAUCUCUCAUUUGUCUUAAUCUUGUCAGUUAAUUUUCUUGAAUUCUGAGUUAGUGUUUAUUGUUAAAUUCGGUUUUCGGUUAGUAGCCAUUGGUUAAUAGCUUCGGUUAAUCCUUGAAUUAAACAUAUUAAAAUCUAAUCAUAAACCCGCCUUUCCCUAUUUUACAACACCCUUUAUGUAAUAGUGACUUCAAAAGUGUAACAUAUUUUGAACAAUUGCAAGGAAAGAACAUAUUUGACACUUCACGAAACGGCUAAGAUAUAAGCUUCAAUUCUUGUACAACAAAUUAAUAUAACCAACUUCAACCGUCAAUUGAUCAAUAAUUCAGUAACAAAAAGGGACAGAUAUCCUAGUCUUUCUUUACUAAUGAAGCAAGCCAUUAAACUUCGAAAGCUAUUUCUAUUUCCACAUUCUUCAUGUACCAAAGCAGGAAAAAUAAAAAAAAAAAGCAACAAAAAUUUGGAAGUAAUCGUCUUUAUUCAGCAGCAUGCAUAUUAAUUAAACAUAUUAAAAAAGAGAUAUACAAUAUCAGGUCUGGAGACGAAAUGAGCCCACAGAGACUACCAAUAAUGUAACGGCUUGAUUAAAAAUAUUAAUCAAGCCACUACAUUAGAAGAACAAGAGUUAAUCAUGCAUAGUAAUUAAAAAUAUUUUUGCUAUCAUCCACCUGUUCUCUCUAAAUAGUUGUCCCUUUUUUUUUUCUUUUGCCUGAAAUUCCAAGCAAAAAUAUAAUUAGAAGAUCAAGAGUUAAGGGUUAAAAAAAUGGAAAAAGAGGGCUCCUCUGUUUUCAUUCCCCUGUUUUUCUGUUCGGUGAUUACAAAGAUUUAAAUCAAAAUUUAUGAUGCAGGCUACACGGCACCUGGUGGAAGACUGCUAGGGUUUACCUUUUAUUCUUAGUUAGAAAUUUAAUUUAGAAUUUGUAGUGUGCGCCUUAUAUAAGUAGGUUUCCUAAUAGUAAAAUUAAAUAAUCAACUUUAUGAUGCACUAGGAUAUGGUUGUGAUAAAUGAGCUUUUUAUGUAUCCUGUGAGGCUGAUUAUUAUUUUAUUACAUUGAAGAUUCAGUUAUCUCUUGGUAGUCUUGUGACUCAAGCGGAUUUAGUUAGUAGUAGGUAAUACUCUGGACUUCACAUACUAAACGGAAUGGAGCAUUAUUUUAUCCCGCUAAAUCAGUUUUUUUUUUUUUUAAUUAAAAAAUAAUUCAUCAAACACUUUAUAGCUCUGGUUUUAACUUGGUAAACACUUUAAGCCGCAACUUUAAAUUCAGUUUACGAGAACUCCUAACAGUCACUGUGGCUUGGGUAGAAAUGAAUAUACUAGCAUAAGUAAUGCUACCCAGGAAAUGUAGUUGAACCUAACCAAACUAAAACCAGAUGAUGAAAGCUUAUAUACACCAAGAGAUUUAUUCGUUUCUGAGUUUGUUUCCAGAAACCCGGAACCUCCCCUGUUUCUACAAACACGGCACCUUUGUUUUCAUUCCCCUGUUUUUCCAUUUGGUGAUUGUAAAAAUCUAAAUCUAAAUCUAAAUUUUUGAUGCAGUCUACACGGCACCUGCUAGAUGAUUGUUUGGGUUUAUCUUUUAUUCUUAAUUAUGAAUUUAAUUUAGAUUCGUAGUGUGCGCCUUAUGAAAGAUUAAAUAGAAUAAUGUGAAAAAAGAAAGAAUGCCUUUCUUAAUUUUGACUUCAUAAUGUUGCAGUAACCGUCCUCUCUUAUCAUUCCCCUGUUCUUUGGUUUGGUGAUUGCAAAUAACAUUCUUUGCAUCUACUCUUUAUUUAUUUAUUUUUUUAAUUUUUAGCUCAUUAAUUCUUGUUCUUCUUAAAGUGUUUAGUAAAUUAUAUGAUCACCUGAUCAAAUCCCUCACAUUAACUCUAAUCCUUUUAGAAAAGACUAAAAAUUAAAAAAAAUAUGUUUAAAUAUCAGUUGGCUCAUGAUCAACACUUCAAUACUGUUUGUUGUAUUUUCUUUCUUUCUUUGUUUGUCAUUUUAUUAGAUUUGUUUUGUAUCAUGGUCUGUUUUGCUUAAGUAAUUGUUCAUUGUUUACGUCUGUGUUCUUACUAGCUUUUGAUAAUUUAUAGUUGGUUUUUUAUUCAGACCUCGAAGUACCUUUCUGUUAAUAGCAAAACCUCUGAUCCUUAAGAAAGAAAAAGAAAUUCUCUAUUUAGUUAUUAGUUGGUUCAAGAUCAAUAUAGCGAUAUUGUUUGCGGUCUUUUCAUUCUCUAUCUUUCCCUCUAGUUCAUUUUAAUUUAUUUGUAUUCCUUUCUUUGACACUUGUAUUUAUAUAUAUAUAUUGUUAAGCAAUAGGCAAUGGCUGCAGAAGGGUGUCUCCCUGCUUUUUCCAGCAUUGUAUCACAAGGUUCAAAAGCAUUAUUCGAACAGAUUAUGCGGCACAUAAAUUAUGUGUUCGAGUACCAGAGCUACAUAGAUGGGCUAAAAGAUCGAGUGAAGGGGCUGGAAUAUAUAAGAGAAAGGGUGCAAAUGCUGGUUAGAGAGGCUACUCUACAAGGAGAUGAGAUUUAUAAGGGUGUCUGAGACUGGCUAAAUAGAGUUGCUGAAUUCAGUGAAGGGGUUGAAAAAUCCAUCAUUGAUGAUAAAGAUAGAGCUAAGAUGUUCUGCUUCAAAGGGUUGUGCCCAAAUUUGAUUUCUCGUUACAAGCUUGGUAAACAAGCAGCAGAGGCCGCAAACGAAGCUGAUAAACUUGUGAAAAAAGGCGAAUUUAACAUCUGUAAUCAUGUUUCCUACCGUCCUGCUCCAGAGAGUACAGAAUAUGUGCAAGUGAAAGAUUACGUAGCCUUUUAUUAUAAUAUCUUUUCACUCUAUUAACUUAAAAAAGAUUGACUUCAAUGUUAAAAAUGUAACAGUAUAUACAUUUUAUAAUAAUUUCAAUAUUUAAAAAAUAUUUGAAUACUUUACAAUCUUAUAUUAUAUUAAACUAAAUUUUAUAAUAAUUAGAAACAUAAUAUUAAAAUAAAUAUAUAAAAUUUUAAGUUAGGCUUAAUAUUAUUUAAAAUAAUUUAAAUAUCAUUAAUAGAUGAGAUAUAUUAUAUUAAUUAUAAAUUCUAUUUAAUCGAAAUAUAUAUUUAAAUUUUUUAUACUAAAAAUAGAUAUAUUAUUAAAAUAAAUAUAACAACUAACAUUUUAAAAAUUAACACUGAAAUUAAAAUUAUAAAUUAUAUUAAUCUACUAGAAAGAUUAAUCUAUUUGACACUAGCAGCGGACAAUGAGGUCACGGCAUAGGACAAGCAGUUAUCGUGACCCAUGGACUUUUCUACUUCUUUUGAAAAAAAAAUCAAAAUCAAAAUCAAAGUCAUUGAAGUGCGUUUGAUGAUUUGCUGUUUAGCUUCUCUCUCAAAUGCUUUUUGAGUGCCUCCGGCAUCUGCUUUUAUAUAAGCUUUUGUCUUUAAUCAUUUAUUCAAGCUUUCGCUAAGAGUGAUGCAGCACAGCACAUAAAUAUAGAAGCAUUGACAGCCGGUCAGGAGCUCUUCGGUAUUUGAAGCAAGAAUGAUUGUUUGGCUUUGUGCAUUGAAAGAGAAAAGAAAAUGAAAGACUUAUUUCAUUAAUACAAUUUAAUUAAUUAAUUUAAAAUAAUAAGCAUAUAAUAAUGAUGAAAUUAAUUAAUAAAAAGAAGAAAAUGAAAAUUGCACGUGCUAUUAGCAUAAACCAAUUGCCGGAAUGAGGUCACUUUGUAGACAAAUGAUUCUGGAAUCAGAACUUGGGCCAGCUUUGGGUUAUGGAUCCAAAAUAAAAAAAGGUGGGCCCCAUGGUCUCUUAUGAUCAAUAAAAAUCGAUUGAAAAGGAUGGUAUGGUGAGUGCAAGAGAAAUUUCGAUGGCAGAUCAAGGGAUGAAGAUACGAGCUCACUUGCAACGUGGUAUAGUUCAUCAUGGCUGGCUUUCCUAUAAGUUCAGGUCCUUUGAAUACUUUCAAUGACCUUAUUAGUCAGGAAUUUAACAAUAAUUUUUAUUUUUUACAUCCAGGAACGGUUUUAAGCAUAGGCAAAUUAGGCCUAUAAUUAAUAGCAAAUCCUCUUUUUUAACAAUUAAACAAUUAGGAAGUCUCCCUUUUUAUUUUUGGUAUUACUUAUAAUAGCAAAUCUUUUUUUUUUUUUUUUUUUGGUUGUAAACCAUCCGGUGUGCCACGACCGCAUUGGGCCUCGAUUAAUCCGGAUUCGGAGUGUAGUCACAGUUAAGGCUCUUUACCCCUCCCAAAUGGUGUGUUUAGUGGGGAUCGAACCCGAGAGCUCUUCCCACAAACUCAGCCUGCACUGCCAACUGAGCCACAACCAUUUGGUAGCAAAUCUUCUUUUUUAGGCCUCUUUUUAGUUAGUAAUUAUCUUAUAAUUAAGAAUUUUUAUACACAUUCUAUAUUUGUUAACCUUAAUAUUAAAGAUCUCCAAUUGUUAAUUUAUUAUUAGUUUUUCCAAAAAAAAAUUAAAUUCUUUAUCUAUUUAAAAAAUUUUAUUAUUUAACAUUAUAAAAUUUUUUGCUCCAUUCUCUAUAAAGAAAAUUAUUACAUUUAUUGGUUCACUUUUGAAUUAAAAAAAAAAGUUUAUUGAAAUAAUAGUUCUAGAGGAAGUAAAAAAUAUAUCUUCUUGGAAAUGUUUCAAACCCAUGAGCUUGGAUUUGUUUGAUAAUUUGUCGAAUUUGCCCACAUAUGAAAUUAGUAUGAUUUUACAGGUUAUAUUAUUUUAUUGGCUACUUCAUUAAAAAAAAAAAACACACACACACAGACACAAGGAUUUUUAUUUGAUGGUAGAAGUUAAGUUGUUUUUCAGUGAUAAAUAAUGUUGUUAACCAAAUUUAAUUGACAUUCUACGCGGCAGUAAUUCAAUUUUAUAGAAGCACGUGGAUUAAAGGACAAAAACACAUCAAGUAUUUAAUAUUGGAUAUGGAUAUGAAUUUUAUCCGUAUAGAUAUGGAGAUCCAUGGAUAUCCACGGAUAUUUUAUUUUUAUUAGGGAUAUUAUCAUUUUCCUACCAAAGAUAUUCUGACACAUCAUGUCAGUACCACGAUUUGGUAAAACCAUCAAUUUACCACUAAAUGUUUAAACUGUUAGCAUUUUCCCACCAUUCCGUUAAAACUCAGUUAAUAUGUAACAGAAAAUUCAUAAAAGGUCAAUUUUACCCCUGAAGCGUAAAAUGCCAUGUAAUUAACCUUUUAUAAAUUUUGUAAUUAAAUCAUCAUUUACUGUUCUUCUUUCUUAAUGGGCAAAAAUUACCCUUUAUGAAUUUUGUAAAAUUGACCGUGUGGUGCUAGGUACUUCAUAAAUUGAUUUAAUUUAUUUAAUUUUUAAAGGGCAAAUUUAUUUAUUUAAUUUUUUGUGUAAAAUUAUUAUCAUCAUAUCAAAGAUUAAAUUGCUUCUUUUGCACAUUCUUUUUUUUCCCUUUCAUAAAUUGAUUUUUAGUAGUAGAAUAAAUUGUCUUUAGCUCGUCAAUUUAAUAAAUAAAUUUAAUUAAAUGAGUGCGGAUUAGGUCAGUGGCAGAUAAAAGAGUCGGUUUUUCCAUUACUAAGCUUUUCAUGGAUGAAAAUUUUAUUUAUUUUUUUUGGUUUUAUAGGGUCUCUGUGAAUGCCAUUAGAAAUGAAAUUGACUAAUUCAAGCUUCCUUUUUCCCCUUAACUGACUGUGAGAGGCCAUCAAUCAGCUCUGUUUUGUAUUUUUGUACCUUUUUUUUUUUCGUAUAAUGAUCAAUCAAAUGUUAGCCCUUAGAUUGCAUCCAAUAUUUACUGAUUGUCUUAUAUUAGGAUAUAAACUAAAUUCAUAAGACAUUCCCUUAUUGAUAUUCAUUCCGACACGUCCUAGUCCUUUGCCUUGUAGAAAUGCUUGUGGUUGAAGAGCUUUACAGAGAAGCUGUCGUCAGUACUGCUGGGAAAUUUAUUAUAUUGAAUCAGAAAACUUGACCAGAUAAAGGCUGUGUGCAUGGGAAUACUUGAGGAAAUAUGAUUUACAUAUACCACUUAAUAUUUUACAAUCUCGUAUUCUAUUAAAUGUAAAUAUGAUUUACAUAUAAAAUAAUUUUCAAUAUCAUAUAAAAUAAUUUUAAUAUUAUUAAAACAUGAGAAAUAUUAUAUUAAUUAUAAAAACUAUUUAACCCAAGGAUUUGUUUAAAAUUUUUAUAAUAAAUAUAUUAAAUUACAUUUUAAAAAUUAAUUAUUUAAAUUAUACAUACUAGUCUACUAGAAAAUUUAAACUAUUUAAAUCAUAUUUACAUUUAGUAAAAAAAUUUGAAGUCAUUUUUUUUUGUGGCUACCAUAAGAGUACUAUAGUCAAAAAGGGUAUUGGUGUUCUUUAUUAAAAUUUUGGGGUCUGCAUGACUAUUUUCUAAAAUUUUAAGGGUGUCAUUUUAUUUUUGGAAAAAAAAUAAAUUUCAUUUAAAUAGCUAAAAUGGUAAAUAGUAGAAUGCUACAGUGGGCGUAAAUAGAAGGUAAAAAGCAAUCAGAUUUUGAUUAAACAUGCAAUGUAUGAAAUAUAUAUUAUGAUUAAACAGAUUUUGAUUAUUUAAUAUUAAAUUAUAUUCACAUUAAUAUCUUAAGGAUAGGUAAUACUCAAAUAAUUUUAAAAAAAAUCAAACCCAAAUUAUAUGCAUUGCUAAUGUGCGUUAUUGUCUAAUAUUUGGAUUUUGCUAAGUCACAACUACUGUAACUUACGGACUCUUCAAACAUAUGUGGAUCCCACCACAUGUUAAAUUUUUUACAUUAUUUUUUAAGGGACUGUAAGUUACAACAGCUUAACCUAACAACACCCUAAUAGUUCACUUUACUUUUAUAUCUUUACAAAACAAUGCCAACAAGACAACAAUGUAUGAAAUAAAUAAAAUAAAUAAACAAAGAACUGACAGCGAAAUUAGGGCUAUCAUUGGUUUCUCGUGGUGUGAACUCUUGACAAUCCUCCCCGAUCCCAUCCAAAACUCCCGCGUAGUGUGAACAUUUGACGAUUCUCCCAUAUCCCUCCAAAAAUUUGUCAUAUUACAAAAAGCAAUGUCAAUUGCAAUGUCGUUUCCAUUAGUCAUAGUGGCAGAUAGGACUAGAAUUUGUUGAAACCCCUGGACUUAUUUUUCCUUUUGAAAAUAAUUUUGUAGAACCUCAUAUCGGGAAUAACAGACAAUAAGACUCUUUUUUUAAUUAUAAUAUAUUUUUUUAAUUUAUUAACUAAAAAAAUUAAUUUUAAUAUUUUAUAAUAAAUAUAAGCAGGAUAUUAAAAUAAAUAUAAUCAUAUGUACAUAUUAAAAUAUUUUAAUACCUAAAUAUAUUUUAAUAUUUUACAAUCUCGUAUUCUAUUAAACCAAAUUUUAAUAAAUAGAGACAUAAUAUUCAAAUAAAUAUAUAAAAGUUUUACUUAUUUUCAAUAUCAUAUCAAAUAAUUUUAAUAUUAUUAAAACAUGAGAAAUAUUAUAUUAAUUAUAAAAUCUAUUUAACCCAAGGAUUUGUUUAAAAUUUUUAUAAUAAAUAUAUUAUUAAAAUAAAUAUAUUAAAUUACAUUUUAAAAAUUAAUUAUUUAAAUUAUACAUACUAGUCUACUAGAAAAUUUAAACUAUUUAAAUCAUAUUUACAUUUAGUAAAAACUUUUGCAGUCAUUUUUUUUUUUUUUGUUACCAUCUACUAAGAGUACUAUAGUCAAAAAGGAUAUUAGUGUUCUUUAUUAAAAUUUUGGGGUCUACAUGGCUAUUUUCUAAAAUUUUAAGGGUGUCAUUUUGUUUUUGGAAAAAAAAUAACAAUUUCAUUUAAACAACUAAAAUGGUGAAUACUACAAUGCUACAAUGGCGUAAAUGGAAGGUAAAAAGCAAUCAAAAUGACCAACAGUCUAACGCCUCAGCAAGGACAUAAGGUCAAAGUUUGUUACAUGUGGUCAGAGCCAUUUAGUCUGUGAGUGGGUCUUUCGUGUCAUUUUUGGUCAUUUCAUCUUCUUUGGCAUUGAAGAUUAAAUGUUGACGACAUUUUCAAAAUUUUGGAAGACCCAUCAUACUUUUGGAUGGUUGUCAUUAUUUGAUAUUAUCAUUAUAUGACGAAAUAAAAUUGGAUGUAACACUUGUUUCGCAUUGUGUGAACUUUUGACAAUUCCCUCAUAUCCCCCAAAAAUCUUUCGCCAUUUUGGGAAGAUGCCAUUUAUUUUCAUUUUCAUCAUUGAUAGUGGCAGAUAAUGGGUUCCGGGGACAGACCAUAAAUUAUUGUGACCCAUGGACUUUUCUAAUUUUUUUCCCUUCGGAUAGUUGUCGUUAUUUGAUAGAAGGAGAUAGAGAUAAAGUUUUUUAAUCAAAUGCCCAUUUUAUUUAACAUGGAAGAAGAUCUUUAAACUCUAAGCGAGACUAUCACUUCAACAUAUGCAGCCUUCAAGAAAGCGGUAACAAGUGAUGAGAUAGACUCAUUAUUGUCUAAUCAAACAAGGACAUCGGUAGAUGUAUCAGGAUCUUAAGUUAGAUUGGAAUUUGAUACAUUAUUGUUGGUAACGUUGGUUCAAACCUUCAAAGUGAGGUUGGAUGCAAAAUGGUUUACACCAAAGAAGUGAUUUAGGAAGUUAAUUAACGUUAUUUUAGAUAAUUUAUAAUUCUAGAAUAUUUAUUAUUUUAUGAUUUUCUAUUUUAGUUUGAGUUAAUUAUGGUAUGUAUCUUAAUCUUUUAUUUCCAUUAUAAUUAUGAUUUAAAUUUUCUUUUUAGGUUAACUUAGGAAAGCGGGUUUCUUCUAUUAUAAAUAAAGAUGUCUGUAAUAAAAAAAAUAAAGAUGUCUUGUCAUUGUUUUCAUAACUUCAAGUUCAAUUAUUAAAUAAAACCCCUCUUUUAUAAUUUCCUCUAGGAUUAUUUAUCAAAAUCUCUCUUGUAGAGUCGUUUGGAUUAGAGUGUCAUCUAAUCUCGUAUUACGCGUUAUUAAAAAUCUCAUUGAGUCAUUUGGAUUAUAACGAUAUCUAAUCACGCUUCGAUUAGAGCGUAAACUAAUCGCGUUGGCUUGGUCUGGUACUAGAACGAUAUCUAAUGUUUCUUACCCUAUCAAUUCUGCUUCCGCUACGCCUCACUCCAUCAAUUGGUAUCAAAAUGAUUAUGUGCGAAUUGCACAUCUUUCCUAGAUACACCAUACCUAUCCAAACCAAAUCCAUCAAAAAAAAAAAAUUUACAAAUUUGAAACCCCCUACCCGUCACAUCAACCUCCACCGUCGCCCACCACCGCCGAUCAGCCAGCCAACACCACCACAAACCUCACUAGCCACCGUUGACCAAGCCUUAGUCAUCGCUGCCUCAACCGUCGCUUGAACAGCCGCAAAUCACCAACCCAAACCCGCGGCUCCACCAAGCAGCCCACCACCAUUCAGCCACUUUCUCCACCAACCACCUCCACCAACAAACUCGCCGGCCUCCGUUGACCAAAAACCGACCAACUUCAGCCCUUGAUCGCCGCCCGUUGUCACCACACGAAACGACACGAGUGCUUCCUAGACGCGCCGCCACCAAAACACCUUCUUUUUCCGUCAAUUUACACCACCACCAUAAUCCUUAGCAUUCGGCAACCGUAAAUCCAGUCUUCCGCCACUGUAAAGCCGGCGUAAACCAAAAGCCACAUCACCAAAAUCAACCGCCAAUUCAAGUCGGAUUUCCCCCAAUUCAAGUUGCUGAAUAUAAAAAGGACUCAUGAAAAUUACCUAAAGUUUCAAAUAUUGUUAUUCAGCAACCACUUUUAGGUUACAUUAGUUUCAACCCAAAUUUUAUAUAAAUAAUUUAUAACUCCCAUUAUUAUCAUAAAAAAAAAAUUGUAGCAAUUGAGGUUAUAUCACAUGAAAAAAAAAAUCUAAUUAAAGAAAUUGACAUUAUAACUUAAGGGAUAGUUGCUCUUUUAAUCAUUAGAAUUUAUGUCAAUUAUCCAGCUUAUCCUUGCAUUCUUAAAAACUAUAUACAAUACCAUUAUCUCUGCUUUUGUAGCUAUUGACUUUGACUUUGACAACAUAAAUAUUUAUUAGCAACAACUUAAAAUUCAAACAAAUCUAAUAUGUAAUGUAUGAAAUACAAAUAAUAAUUAAACAAAUUUUGAUUAUUUAAUAUUAAGAUAUAAUCACAUUAAUAUCAUAAGGAUAGGUGGUACUCAAAUAAUCUUUUAAAAAUCAAACCCAAAUUAUAUGCAUUAUUGUCUAAUAUUUAGAUUUUGUUAAGUUACAACUGAUGUCACUUAAGUCUCUUAAAAAAUAUGUGGGUCCCACCACCUAUUAAAUUUUUUACAUUAUUUUUUAAAAAAUUGCAGUUACAUCAGUUGUAACUUAAUAGCACCCCUAGUAUUUUACUUUACUUUUAUACCUUUACAAAAACAAUAAUGUAUGAAAUAAAUAAAUAAAGAACUGACAACGAAAUUAGGCCUAUCAUUAGUUUCUCGUGGUGUGAACUCUUGACAAUCCUCCCCUAUCCCACCUAAAGCUCUUGCGUGUGUGAACGUUUGACAAUUCUCCCAUAUCCCUCCAAUAAUCUGUCAUAUUGCGGAAAGCAAUGUCAAUUGCAAUGUCGUUUCCCAUUAGUCAUAGUGGUAGAUAGGACCAGAAUUUUUUGAAACCCCUGAGACCCUGAACUUGUUUUUCCUUUUGAAAAUAAGAAAAGAACACCCGUCUGGAGAAAUAAUUUUGUAGAACCUCAUAUCGUGAAUAACAGACAACAAGACUUUUUUUUUAAAUUAUAAUAUUUUUUAAACUUAUAAACUAAAAAAAUUAACUCUAAUAAUUUAUGAUAAAUAUAAAUAGGAUAUUAAAAUAAAUAUAAUAAUAUAUACAUAUUAAAAUAAUUUCAAUAUCUAAAAAUUUUAAUAUUUUACAAUCUCGUAUUCUAUUAAACCAAAUUAUAAUAAAUAGAGCAUAAUAUUCAAAUAAAUAUAUAAAAAUUUAGGUUAUUUUCAAUAGCAUAUAAAAUAAUUUUAAUAUUAUUAAUACAUGAGAAAUAUUAUAUUAAUUGUAAAAUCUAUUUAACCUAAGGAUUUAGUUAAAUUUUAAAAUAAUUACAAAUAUUUUAUAAAUACAAAUAAAUUAAUUUACAUUUUAAAAAUUAAUAUUUAAAUUAAUUAUUUAAAUUAUAUAUAUUAGUCUACUGGAAAAUUUAAAUUAUUUAAAUCAUAUUUACAUUUCGUAAAACUUUUAAGCCAAUUUUUUUUUAUUACCACCUACUAAGGGUAUUGUAGUCAAGGGGAAUAUUGGUAUUCUUUAUUAAAAAUUUGGGAUUUACAUGAUUAUUUUUCUAAAUUUUAAUGGUGUCAUUUUAUUUUUGACAAAAAUAAAAUUUCAUUUAAACAGCUAAAAUGGUGAAUAAUACAGUGCUACAGUGGCGUAAGUGGAAGGUAGGAAACAAUCAAAAUGAACAGUCUAACAUCACAGCAGGCAUAUAAGGCCAAAGUUUGUUACAUCCCAAUACAACAAGUUUGAAACUUUGCACCUUCUGAAAUGAAACAAACUUACUUGGAUAUUGGCGAUCAGUGAGAAAAACCCUUUUUCCAAAGCAACCUUAGGGUACCGAGUGUUACAGAUUCAAUGAACCACAAGUACUUAUUUACAUUGUGGUAUCUCAAAGGCACCAAUUUCUUCUGAUCCGUUAAGGAAAACAAGAAAAAUAAAAAGAAAAGAAAAAGGUUACUUGUGCAACACAACCUUGACGCCUAGCUACAUGGUACAUUCUCUUUGUGUGUUUGAACUAGUUAACAAUAAUUGUGCCUUUACUUCUUGGAUUGGGGAAUCGGAAUCCGAAAUCAAAAUCAUUAAUGAUGGAGGCAGGGAUCCAAAUCAGAAUUAUGGGGCCACCCAAAUUUAGGAAUGAGGAAUGGAAGAUUGAUUCCCAAGGAAGGUGGUGGGAAUCAAUCACCCGUUCCCAAGAUUGACCAUUUUGCUCCCUCUCACAAACUAUAAAAUGUCUAUUUUGUCCUCAAUUAAAAAAUUAUUAUGAUUAAUUAAUAUAUGUUUAUAAUUUAUUAAUAUAACUAUUCUAAUCAAUUUAUACAUUUUACAUUUAUUACUAUUAUUAAAUAAUUAAUAUAUUAUUAUAAUUAAUUAAUAUAUUUUGAAUUUUUAUUAUUAUCAUCAUCAUCAUUAUUAUUAUUGUUAUGAAUGAUAAAAAAUUUUACAAUUAAUUAAUAUAUUAAUAUAUUAUUGACAAUAAUUAUUAAUAAUAAUAAUUUUUGAAUAAAUAAAAAUGUAUAAUUAAUUACUGAAUUUGAACAUUUUACAAUUAUUCUAUUAUUUGGACUUAUCGUACAUGCAGAGUAGCUAGUUUGCUAGCAUAUAUGUAAGGUUUAAUUUGAAUGCAUGCAGCAUUGAGAAGAGACAACGCAGAAACAAAAUUUCCGCUUGCGAUCUUUUCAUUUCCCUGUUUAAUAACAAACAAAACAGAGGAGAAACAGGGGCUCUCUUUUAAUUCCCCUGUUUUUCUGUUUGGUGAUUUUAAAAUGGGUCAUUCUAUAAUGCCGUAACUAAAUUUACGGCAUUGAUGCCGUAAUGGACGUGGACCGUUAGAUUUGAAUAAAAAAUCUCUACCAUUAAUUCUAAAUAAAUAAGUAAUAUGUUACCUAAAUAGCAGGUAAUUACUCUUUUUUGUUCAAGUUUCAGGUUACAUUUACUAAUUUUAUGUGUGAUUUACAAGUUUUAUGAAACUUUUACAAGUUAAUGCUGAUUUACAAGUUAUAUGUAACAUUUACAAGUUUUUGUUUUGUUUACAAGUUCUUCUUACAAUUUACAACUCUAACAUUAAUUUACUAGUUGUAUGUGUGGUUUACAAAUUUUUUGUUUUAUUUAACACUUAAUGUCAAUUUACAAGUUCUAUGUAAUUUUUCUAAAUUUUGGUUUUGUUUACAAGUUCUUCUUACAAUUUACAACUCCAACAUUAAUUUAUUCAUUUUUCCAUCAAUUUACUAGUUUUAUGUGUGAUUUACACAUUUUUUGUUUCAUUUCACAAUUAAUGUCAAUUUACUAGUUAUAUGUCAUUUUUAUAAGUUUUUGUUUUGUUUACAAGUUCUUCUUACAAUUUACAACUCUAACAUUAAUUUACCAAUUUUUCCAUUAAUUUACUAGUUUUAUGUGUGAUUUACACAUUUUUUGUUUCAUUUCACACUUAAUGUCAAUUUACUAGUUGUAUGUCAUUUUUCUAAGUUUUUGUUUUAUUUACAAGUUCUUCUUACAAUUUACAACUCCAACACUAAUUUACCAAUUUUUUUCAUUAAUUUACUAGUUUUAUGUGUGAUUUACACAUUUUUUGUUUCAUUUCACACUUAAUGUCAAUUUACUAGUUGUAUGUCAUUUUUCUAAGUUUUUGUUUUGUUUACAAGUUCUUCUUGUAAUUUACAACUCCAACAUUAAUUUACCAAUUUUUUCAUUAAUUUACUAGUUUUAUGUGUGAUUUACAUAUUUUUUGUUUCAUUUCACACUUAAUGUCAAUUUACAAGUUCUAUGUCAUUUUUCUAAGUUUUUGUUUUGUUUACAAGUUCUUCUUACAAUUUACAACUCCAACAUUAAUUUACCAAUUGUUCUAUCAAUUUACUAGUUUUAUGUGUGAUUUACAUAUUUUUUGUUUCAUUUCACAAUUAAUGUCAAUUUACUAGUUGUAUGUCAUUUUUCUAAGUUUUUGUUUUGUUUACAAGUUCUUCUUACAAUUUUCAACUCUAACAUUAAUUUACCAAAUUUUUCAUUAAUUUACUAGUUUUAUGUGUGAUUUACAUAUUUUUUGUUUCAUUUUACACUUAAUGUCAAUUUAAAAGUUCUAUGUCAUUUUUCUAAGUUUUUGUUUUGUUUACAAGUUCUUCUUGCAAUUUACAACUCCAACAUUAAUUUACUCAUUUUUCCAUUAAUUUACUAGUUUUAUGUGUGAUUUACAAAUUUAUUGUUUUAUUUCACACUUAAUGUCAAUUUACUAGUUGUAUGUCAUUAUUCUAAGUUUUUGUUUUGUUUACAAGUUCUUCUUACAAUUUACAACUCUAACAUUAAUUUACCAAUUUUUCCAUUAAUUUACUAGUUUUAUGUGUGAUUUACAUAUUUUUUGUUUCAUUUCAUACUUAAUGUCAAUUUGCAAGUUCUAUGUCAUUUUUCUAAGUUUUUGUUUUGUUUACAAGUUCUUCUUGCAAUUUACAACUCCAACAUUAAUUUACUCAUUUUUCCAUUAAUUUACUAGUUUUAUGUGUGAUUUACAAAUUUAUUGUUUUAUUUCACACUUAAUGUCAAUUUGCAAGUUCUAUGUCAUUUUUCUAAUUUUUUUUUUGUUUACAAGUUCUUCUUGCAAUUUACAACUCUAACAUUAAUUUACUCAUUUUUCCAUUAAUUUACUAGUUUUAUGUGUGAUUUACAAAUUUAUUGUUUUAUUUCACACUUAAUGUCAAUUUGCAAGUUCUAUGUCAUUUUUCUAAUUUUUUUUUUUUGUUUACAAGUUCUUCUUGCAAUUUACAACUCCAACAUUAAUUUACUCAUUUUUCCAUUAAUUUACUAGUUUUUUGUGUGAUUUACAAAUUUAUUAUUUUAUUUCACACUUAAUGUCAAUUUACAAGUUCUAUGUCAUUUUUCUAAGUUUUUAUUUUGUUUACAAGUUCUUCUUGCAAUUUACAACUCCAACAUUAAUUUACUCAUUUUUCCAUCAAUUUACUAGUUUUAUGUGUGAUUUACACAUUUUUUGUUUCAUUUCACACUUAAUGUCAAUUUACAAGUUCUAUGUCAUUUUUCUAAGUUUUUGUUUUGUUUACAAGUUCUUCUUACAAUUUACAACUCCAACAUUAAUUUACCAAUUUUUCCAUCAAUUUACUAGUUUUAUGUGUGAUUUACAUAUUUUUUGUUUCAUUUCACACUUAAUGUCAAUUUACAAGUUCUAUGUCAUUUUUCUAAGUUUUUGUUUUGUUUACAAGUUCUUCUUACAAUUUACAACUCUAACAUUAAUUUACCAAAUUUUUCAUUAAUUUACUAAUUUUAUGUUGAUUUACAUAUUUUUUGUUUCAUUUCACAAUUAAUGUCAAUUUACUAGUUGUAUGUCAUUUUUCUAAGUUUUUGUUUUGUUUACAAGUUCUUCUUACAAUUUUCAACUCUAAUAUUAAUUUACCAAAUUUUUCAUUAAUUUACUAGUUUUAUGUGUGAUUUACAUAUUUUUUGUUUCAUUUCACACUUAAUGUCAAUUUACAGGUUCUAUGUCAUUUUUCUAAGUUUUUGUUUUGUUUACAAUUUCUUCUUAUAAUUUACAACUCCAACAUUAAUUUACUAGUUUUUUUCUAUUUUUUAUUUUUUUAAAUUUUGUAGACCAAUUUACCACUCUAACGUUGAUUAUUGGCAUUUUAUGAUUUAGAUAGAAUGAUAUAAGGGUGGGCAUGAGUUGGGUUUGAUAGGGUUAGUGAAAUUCUAACCUGAUCUACUUUUUAAUGAGCUGACAUAAAAUCCAUCCAACUUAACUAAAUAAACUUGUUUAACCCAAUUCUACCCAAGCCUUAUAUCGUCUGGUUAAGUUGAUUAGGUUGAAGGUCAAAUCAAAAUUUUAAUUUGAACAAUGAAAAUGAUAUGAAACUUGAAAUGAAACUUAUUAAAAUCAAAUAUAAAUCUUUUAUAAAAUGAAAUUUUCAUUCACUAUCUAGUGUACGUAAAGAAAGUUAAUAAAUUAACUAUCUUUAAAUUAAGAAAAUUUCCACAAAAAGCAUAUAGACUUUAUUUCUCCUACAUCUCCUUUUCCAAUUCCAAAUUCAGACUUUUUAGAUAAUUAGCUAGCAUCAUAUACAAAAAUAAAAUGAAAGUGAUAUAUAAUUAUAUGCCGUUAAGUAUUCACUAAAAAAAUAAAAAGAAAUUAAAACCAACUUACUUUUAUAUUAAUCUUAUAAAAUAAUAAAUUUACUUAUAAGAGAGUGUGAUUUUGGUUUUGGAAUUGUAGUCUAGAGCAACAUGUAGGUCCCGAACCCUGAUUUCAAUUUAAUUGGGCUCUAAUAUUUAGGCCCGAGCCUAACCAUUAAAUUCGAGUCAAAGGAUAGAAAAUUCAGGUCAAGUCAAUUAGACUAAAAGUCGAUCCGAGUCUUCCUUGCAUGUAUAUAUGUUUGCAUCUUGAUUUUUUAUUUUUAUAUAUCAUAUAAACUCUUCUAUAAAUUUAUAGGUAUAUAUAGAAUGCUGCGUUUACUUGUCAUUAAUUGGAAUAGGUAAUGAGAAUCAGAAUAAGUUGUUUACUUGAUCUACAAGAAUCGAAAUCGGAAUGGACUGGAACCCCAUUAAUGUGUUUAUUUUAUCUUGGAAUUGGCUUCGGAAUGAGUUAAAUUGUAACAAAUUACUAAAAAGUACUUAAUGGAUUAUUAUCAUAAUUAUUAUUUUAUAUUUUAAUUAUAGUGAUUAUUUAUUCAAAAAUUAUUAUUAUUAUUAUUAAUUGUAAUAUAUAUUAAUAUAUUAAUAAAAUCAUAAAUCUAUCAUUUUUCUUUAAAUUAGUUUAUAAAAAUCGACAUUGUCCCUUUCCCGAAUGAGAAAUUGGGUAUAAAAUCAUAAAUUUAAAAUUUAACUAAAAAUCAUAAAUCUAAACCCCAAAAAAGUCAUAACAUAAGUGGUUCUAUAUAUAUUUUAGGUAUAUAUAUAAAUGUUUGUGUGUGUGUGUGUGUGUGUCUCUCUCUCUCUCUCUAUAUAUAUAUAUAUAUAUAUAUAUCUUAUUUUUAAUGAAUUGUCAUAUUACUGGAAUUACUUAGUAUGAUGUCAUAAUUAUAGAAUUAAGUCACUUUUAUGGCAUAAACAAUAUAAUUUUCUAAAAAAAAAUUAGGUUCAACUAAAGAUUGAUAUGUUACUAAUUUUUUUUUUUUUUGGAUGGACCUCUUUACUAGUUUAAAAUCGAAUCAUUGGCAUGUUUAAUUUAAACCUUAUGGUCCUUUUUAGUUACAAUUUUUUUUUUAAAUAUCAAGGUAUUUUUUAAUCUGCUAUCAAAUUUCACUUAACACUUUUACACUCUUUUUAUUUCAAUUUUUUUAAAAUAAAUAUUACAGUACUUUUUUCUUACAUUCACGACAAAUUAUGUAAUCUCAAUAGCUCCAACUAAAGAUUGUAAUCUCACGACAAAUUAUGUCAUAUUUAUAGAAUUAAGUCACUUUUUUCCUUGUUCCCGUAAUAUUUUUGCUUCUUGCUUGCUGCAGUCAAUUAAAUAUUUUGAAAAAAAAAUAUAAUCAGUGCACUGUCACAUUAUUAUGCUUGACUUUACUAAAUAUUCAUAAAUUUACCAACAAUCAAAUACGUAAUAUUUAAUGUAAUUAGACUUACAAAUACUUAACGAAAGACCGAUUAUUUCUUAAAAUUUCAAUUUCUUGGUUCACGUUAUCCUUGAAAUCAUUCUCGUUACCCUUAUCUACAUUUUCAGCCAUUUUCGAGUUUAUAACAAGAACCUGUACAUGAAGAUAUUAGGCACAAAAAGAAAUGUCAAAGAUCACAAGUUUUGGAUCCUGUAAAAAUAUUUUACAGAUAAACAUUUCAAUUCAAAAUUCAAUCGCCCGAGCAAUAAUUAGGAACACCUGGAAAGUUAAACUGGUAUUUGCUUCCAUAACAGUGACAAACAAUAACCAUUCACAACAUUAGUUAUAAUCCUUAAAAAGAAAUAACAAACUUCAAAAAAAAAUAUAUAGACGUUUUACAAUGACUGUUGGCUUGGCACAUCAAUCUAAAGCUCACAAGCAGUUUGCAUUUCUCAUCAUCUCUUUCUUCUUCCCUCUAUUAUCAAUGGAUUGUAGAAGCUCAAAUGAAGCAAGUAGCAGCAGGAACAACACAAGCAACUUUUACUAUCAAUCCCCAUCCUUCUCCAUUCAAAAUGCAUCAUGACCAUUUUCCGGCCAGCUCCAUACACAAAAACAACAGUAAAUAUAUCCGGAAACAACAAAAAAAUUAACCCAAAAGUAGUAGUAAAUUUAUACAAAAACAGAAAAAAAUUUAACUGAAAUACGGCAGCAAAUUAACCCAAAACCAGCAGAAUUUUAACACAGAAAUAGCAGCAACUGAAGCCCAAAACACCCGAAAAUUUUACCCAAAAACAGCAGUAAAUUUAUCCAGAAACAGCAGAAAAAUUAAUUGAAAAACAGCAGCAAAUUUACCCAGAAGCAGCAGAAAAUUUAACCCAAAAAUAGCAGUAAAUUUAUCUAGAAACAGCAGAAAAUUUAAUUGAAAAACAGCAGCAAAUUUACCCAGAAGUAGCAGAAAAUUUAACACAAAAACAGCAGCAAAUGAAGCCCAAAACAGCAGAAAAUUUAACCACAAAACAGCAGAAAAUUUAACCCAAAAACAGCAGUAAAUUUAUCCAGAAACAGCAAAAAAUUUAACUGAAAAACAGCAGCAAAUUUACCGAGAAACAACAGAAAAUUUAACACAAAAACAGUAGCAAAUGAAGCCCAAAACACCAGAAAAAUUUACCUCCAAACAGCAGAAAAUAUAACCCAAAAACAGCAGUAAAUUGAUCCAAAAACAGCAGAAAAUUAGACUAAAAACAGCAGCCAAUUUACCCAGAAACAGCAAAAAAUUUAACUCAAAAUCAGCAGCAAAUGAAGCCCAAAACACCAGAAAAAUUUAACCCAAGAACAACAGCAAAUCAUUCCAAAUACAGCAUAAAAUUUACCCAGAAAAAAAAAGCAUAUCAAAUCAUCCCAAAUACAGCAGCAAAUCAUCCCUACGUUUCAAACAUGCUUCUCUAGGCUAACUCUAGACUUAAUUUUCCCUUCAUUACCACAGUGGAACUCAUUCUAACUGGUAAAUUUAUUUGUAUAAACAAUAAUUCACUUUCUAUUGAACUAAGAGUUGAUGAAAUUCAUUGAUAUUGAAAUUAUUUGCAGUUGAUGAACCUCGUAUUCUAUUAAACUUCCAACCAAAAUCAAUGCACAUGAGAAUACAAAAUCAAGGGCACAACAAUUAACGAAAUUUACUUUUAAUUUCGUCCAAACCUAUACAUCGCACCAAAUUAAGGUUCAGUUUCUAUUUCUUCAUUAACCCAAGUGACACAAAACAAUUCUAUUAAAUUUUAUGUUGAAAUUAUUUGUAGCAAACAAACAAAUAUACCAAAAAUAGGCUUACUUGGUGGAAUUAACAACAAUGCAAACGCGGUGGAGGGGAAUCAGUGGCUGGAACUUGCCUUGCCUUCUCUUCCAAUCAAUAAGAUUGAGGGCAGCAGCAACAACUUAUGAUCAACACCUGGUACUCCGCUUCAGGCACUGUCAAAUCUCAUCAAAAUUUCUUUAUCCCUUAAUUCUCUUGGAAACCAAACAAAAUACCACAACCAAUCCAGAUGCACAGUAUCCAAAAAUUAUAAAAAAAUCCACUUAAAAAACUUAAAAAAGGGUUAAAAAAAGUCUUAAGAAGAGUUUACCUCCUGAAUCACUGAUGCCCAGCCGGUAUCGUUGUUCCAAAACCCCUUGACGAAUACGAACACAGCCUGGUUCUCCUCAACCAAGUUGUUGUAGAGCUUCUUCUUGUCCGAUUAAAUAAUCUAUUGGUAUUUAGUGAUGGAUUUAAAGAGGAACGCCUUGGCGAUGGGCAAAUUUCAAAUCCGCUUCUGUUUUGCUGCAAGCAGAUUUCAAAUCGGUGAUGGGCAGGAACACAAACUCAGCCCCUUCACCAACAUGAACCGUUGUAGAGCUUCUUAUUUCUCGCUUCUUUUUGGCUUCAGGCAGUUUUCAAAGCGAUGAUUGGCAGGAAAAGAGGAACGAUUGAGGAAAACAAAAUUUGGGUUAGCCAGCAAGCACAAUCGCUUCGAAAAUACAAGAUCCGGCGUGCUGCAAUUUCUUAGACUCGAUGUUGUGCCCUUCGAAUUAUGAGAUUCUAUUUGGAUUUUUGUAGAUUCGGUUUUAAAAAAAUAUAUAUAUAUAUAUAUAUGUAUGUAUAUAAUUUUGAAAAUUUUAACCAGUUAAUUUUUUUAAAUAAAUGUUUAGCCGGUUAACAACCGGUUAAUGAAAAAAAUUUACAAAUUUUUUUAUUAUGUUAUAGUUAUUGCAUGCUGUUGAUUUAAUCCAACGGUGUACAGUAAUUACGGCAUUAAUACCGUAAUUUUUAUUACGGUAUUAUAGAAUUUUCCUUUUAAAAUUUUAUGUCUAUAUUUAUCAAAAAAAGUUAUCCAGAAUUAUUAUCUAUUUUUGAUACACAUUGAUUUAUUAAAAAAACAAUUAAAAACUGCAAUUCUAAACUUAUCGUUGUGCACUGUGCUUUGACCUUGGGGUGGUUUUUUUCUGUUUUUUUACGUAGGCCAGAACCUUAAUGAAGAAAGUUUUCAUCGUUAAUUGCUUUUGACCUAGGAGAAUUUAUUACUUGGACAAAUUAACACCAUUGUCCUUUGAUGCGGCUCCUAGAUAUCUAUGCAAUUUGUGUCAUUUACUUUUGCUUUGUAUUCUUUUUUAAAUGAGUCCUGACUGGUUCAUUGGCAGAUAAAUGAGUCGGUUUUUCUGUUUUUAUUUUUUAUUUUUUAUUUUUUGAAAGACGGUUUUUCUGUUACGAAACUUUUCAUGGAUGAAUUUUUUUUUUAAUUUUAUAGAUUCUCUGCGAAGGCAGUUUAGAAGUACUAAGUUUUGUUAGGUAGAAGGGUAUUUAAGUAUUUUCAUUUCAUAUUUUGACAUUUCCUUGACCUUUGAAGUAUUGAAUCAUUGUGUUGGUAUUUAAGUAAAUCUGCCCACAAUGAGGAAUAUAUAGUUCAGAACAGUUGAGGAAGCAUGAGAAUACUUGAGGAAAACCUGAUCUGCACUCUUUCCUCUAUAUGUGUCUUCAAUAUAAAUGGCUCAAAUAUAUGCGUUAUGAUCUUUUAAUAUUUCGCCUCUGAUAUUGCCCACAUUGCUUACUGCAAUAGAUAAAGCACUUCGUUUACCCCAAAUCCUGAUAGGGAAGUAUAAAUAUAUGCUUCCGAAAUAGCGCAACUCUCCAUAAUUAUUUAAUAUGCCUCUCAAUGAAGCAAUCACUUCAUUUACAAUUCUUCGAUUAUUAAUCCUACAUACACGUGUUUCUUUUGUCUCUAAAAGUAUUCUCAAUUAAUUUACAUAAUUUAAUAUAAUAAGUACCUAAGACUAGACAAAUUACCAUUACAAUAAAAUGAAUAAAUUAUAAUAGUAUUGACACAAUAAUGUCAAUAAUAAAUGCCUUAACAAACCUAUAAAUUUUAGAAUAUGGCUCAGAGUGCUACAAUGAACCACAACAAGUUAUUAUAUUAUCUAUAAUCAAUAUUCCAAUGAUAAUAGAGCUUUUCUAUUUUCAAUCCGCUGCUUUUCUGUUUAGCGAUUGCCAAAUUUUAUAUCUAAAAUUCUUCUAAUUUUACACUAAGGUUUAUUUAAAAAAAAAAAAAAGGGGGUAGGAGAGAGAGACUCAGAGAGUAUUAAAAAAUGUAAUUCUAAAUUUUUACUUGAGCGUUGUGUGAUUUUUAUCAUUUUUUUUAAGUUGGCCAUUUAUAUUGAGUAAAUAAAAGAAUGAAUAGACGUUUGGACCACUUCUUUUCUGUUAUAAUAAAACAUGAGAUGUCUUUUCUUGAUGUUUUCGUCACAAAAGAAUAUGUUUAUGUCAUCAUAGGCUUAAAUGGGGUAAGUAAAUUAAGAUCGAGGAAAAGUUUGUUUAAGCACUAAAGUCGCUAAAUAAACGAAAGGCUCAUAUAAAAAUUACCUAAAGCACCAAAUAUUGUUAUUUAGCUACUUCUUUUAUGUUACAUUAGUUUCUACGCAAAUUUAUAUAAAUAAUUUAUAACUCCCAUCAUUAUUAAAAAAAAAAAAAAACUGUAGCAAUUGUGGUUAUAUCACGUGGUGUGAUCUUUUGACAAUUCUCCCACAUCCCACCAAAAACUCUUACGCGGCAUGAACUUUUGACAAUUCUCCCAUAUCCCACCAAAAAUUUGUCAUGUUGCGAAAGGCAAUGUCAAUUGCAAUGUCAUUUCCAUUAGUCAUAGUAGCAGACAAUGGAGGUCCCGGGAUAGGACUAGAAGUUUUUGAAAUCUUGGACUUAUUCUUACUUUAUUUUUUCUUUUGAAAAUGAGAAAAGGACACCCGUUUGAGGAAAUAAUUUUGUAGAACCUCAUAUCGUGAAUAGGGGAUAAUAAGACUUUUUUUUUUUUUUACUUCACUGCAAUAUUCUUUAAUUUUAUUAAUUUUAUAUUUUAUAAUAAAUAUAAAUGUGAUAUUAAAAUAAAUGUAAUAAUAUAUACAUAUUAAAAUAACUUGAUAUUGAAAAAUAUUUUAAUAUUUUACAAUCCCGUAUUACAUUAAACCAAACUAUAAUAAAUAGAUAUAAUAUUAAAAUAAAUAUAUAAAAGUUUAAAUUAUUUUGAAUAUCAUAUAAAAUAAUUUUAAUAUUAUUAAUAAAUCAGAAGUAUUACAUUAAUUGUAAAAUCUAUCUAAUCCAAGGAUUUAUUUAAAUUUUUUAUAAUAAAUUAAAAAUAUAUUAAUUAACAUUUUAAAAAUUAAUAAUGAAAUUAAUUAUAUAAGUUAUACAUAUUAGUCUACUAGAAAGAUUUAAACUAUUUCAAUCAGAUUUACAUUUAGUGAAAAUUUUUGAAGUUAAUGGUUUUGGUUAUCGUCUACUAAGAAUCUUGCAGUUAAAAGGGGUAUUGACAUUCUUUAUUAAAAAUUUGAGGUCUACAUAACUAUUUUUUAAAAAUUUAAGGGUGUCAUUUUUAUUUUUAACAAAAAUAAAAUUUCAUUUAAAUGGCUAAAAUGGUGAAUAAUACAAUGUUACAGCUGGCGUAACAUUGUAUUAUAUGUUAAAUUUUUUUAAAUAUUUGUAUAUAUUGUUAUAUGAUAUUAUAAUAUUAUAUUUAUAUUUAUUAAAAUAUAAGAGUUAAUAUUUUUAAAUUAAUAAAGACAAAAAGUAUUAUAAUAAAAAAGAAUUCUUUUAUUAAAAAUAUAAUCAUUCUCCCAAACUUAUCCUUGUCCCUUUUUGAAAGGAAAAAAUAAAUUAGAAAAGUCUUUGGUCAUGAUAACUUCUAGCCUUGUCCCAUGGGACAUGGCUACGGUGCAGAAGCUGAAAGUAACAGCUUCGAACUUUCCCAUUUCCAUCACCUUGCAUUGGGACCUCUUUCUCUCUCCUCUAGCACCAGUGGAAGUUCCCCAUUGGCCGCUGUUACUUACAGAAGCUGUAACAUAGACUUCUAGCCAUGUCCCGUGAUGUCCAUUGUCUGCCACUAUCAAUAAUGGCAAUGACAUUGCAAAUGAAACAUUGAAAAUGUAUUUUCACAAUAUGACAAAAUGGGAGGAUUGUCAAAAGUUCACUGAAACUAGAGUUAGAUCUAAUUUCAUUUAUUUCAUAAAUUAGAAAAGUCUAUGGUCGUGAUAACUUCUAGCCAUGUCCCGUGAUGUCCAUUGUCUGCCACUAUGAAUAAUGAAAAUGACAUUGCAAUUGAAACUUUGAAAGGUAUUUUCGCAAUAUGACAAAGCUUUUGUUGGGAUACGGGAGGAUUGUCAAAAAUUCACACCACGUGAAACUAGCGUUAGAUCUAAUUUUAUGUCGUCAGUUCCUUAUAUAUUUAUUUCAUUUAUUUUAUACAUAGCUGUUUUAGGGUGAUAUUGUUUUGUAAAGAUAUAAUAGUAUGGUACUAUAAAAAGAAAAGAGGUGUGUGUAUACUUCCCAGUGUAAUAAUUAUAUGUAGAAGAAAACUAACAAGAGGAAAAAUGACAAAGAGCAAGGCGCUGGUUGUGGGGAGAAGAGGAUAGAGAAGGCAAUCUUAGCUUGUUGAUUGAGGGCUCAUUUUCUGAUCAUCGUAGCCUUGUUGGAGCUGUCAAACAAGUCGAUGUUGUCAUUUGCACCAUGUCGGGGGCUCAUUUAAGGAGCCACAAACAUUUUGAUGUUGCUUAAACCUGUUGAGUCCAUCAAAUAAGCUGUAAAUAUUAAGGUACGUAAUCCUUAAUUUUUAUGUAAUUUUAAUUUCAGAUCCAAAAUUGCAUGCAAGUCAUUAAAUUUCUUUCCUUUUUUUAUUUUUUAUUUGAUGAGUUACUUGAUUUGGUCGGGUGCCUUUUUUUUUCCUUUGGUUUUUCUUUUUCCAAAACAUAAAUAGACCAAGCACAUCUCCAAAUCGGGUUGGAGCGGGGAUUCUAACUCUACGAUGGCCAUAUUAAAAUUUAAAAUUUUUUAAUUUAUUUUUUCUUUUAUAACUACAUCUCAAUAUUUGAAAAAAUGAUUAUAUAGAUCUAUAUAUUAUCGAACCCAAAAUUAUAAUAAUACAUGUAAUUAUUCUAUACAUGCGUCAACAAGGCAACAGUAACCAAAUACAUGAUAUGCGAAGGGGGUGCAUGAUUAAGUCCUUUUUUUAUUCAAUUCAUUGUUAUUAUUUUUCAGCAGUUACCAGUGAUCUUUUUGCUCAUUAAAAUUAUUCUUAAAUAUUCAACGCCCAGAAGAGAAGCUCAUCAACUAUCAGAUCCCGGAUAAUUAAAGAGGUGAACUUGUUCUAAAUCCUUUGAUAAUUUCUAUUAAUAGCAUAAUCUCCUUGAUCCAAGAAAAAAUAUCUCCUGUUUGUCUUAAUCUUGUCAUUUAAUUUUUUCAACAGCAAAUAUAUAUACACACGCACACACACAUAUUGUUAAAAAGUGCAGAAAAACCACUCAAAAACGUGGAGAAAAACCACUCAAAUUUAUACAUGCGUCAACAGGGAAACAGUAACCAAAUACGUGAUACAAAAAGGGGUGAAUGAUUCUGUCUUUGCCUUUUGCAAGUCGCUGUUAUUACUCUCAUCAACUCCUUUCUCGCACAUUUCUCAGCAGUUACCAGUAAUAUUUAAAAUCGCUGUGUAGAUAUGCAAAGUUCCGUAAGUGCAUUAAUAAUUAUUUGCCAGAAAAAAAUAGUUGCGUCAAUAUUAAAGGAAUUGACAUCCAGGGGACCCAAUUUAGUUGCUUAAUGAUUAUUUAAUUAAUUAAUUUAUAAUAUAUUAAUCUUUUAAGUUGAAUAUUUAAAAUCUUAGACCCGAAACAAUAAAUCAUCUGAGGCAAAUAAAAGAGAAAUUAUCAUCCUUUUUUCUUUUUUUAACUUCUUGUAGCUUAUAAAAGAGAAAUUAUCAGUCAUUUACUCAAAGUUUAUUCAAUUAUUAAAAUUAUUAUAAAAAUUUAAAUUUAUUUAAUUUUACAUCCAAUGUAUGCAAUUUGUAUGAAACAUCUGUUAAAAAUAUAAAGUUAUUCGUUCAAAGUGACAAAAUAGAAGCGAACACAAAAUUGUAGUGGUGAUUAUGUUUUAGGAGUAACUUUAUUUUUUUAGUAAACAGUUGAUACACAUUUUAUAACUUUUGGAUAAUAAAAUAAUUUUUAGGUGGAUGAUUGAAAAUUUUUCUUUUCAAAAUAUUUUGAAAACAAUACCAAAUGUACCAAAACAUUGUUUACUUUCACUCUCUCUCUCUCUCUCUCUAUCUAUCUAUCUAUAUAUAUAUAUAUAUAUAUAUUAUUUCUUAACUCAUUCUUAUCCUUAUUCUUUCUAACAUAUCCACAAUCUGUCAAUGAAAUUUACUUUUAUAAAUUUAAAGAUUUUUUCAUGCAAUUUUGUACGAUGAUGAGUUCUCAUAUUUAUGUUAAAAAAUAAUUCGUAAAUAAUACAAAUGAAAAAAACAAAAAGUAGCAGGGCUGGCAAUACAAAACCAUAACUUUUUUUCUUUGAAUUUUGCAUAAAUAAAGUCAAUAGUGAUUUGUCAGCGCGAUCUUGAGAGCACGGCUUGGAGUCUCAAUAAUUAUUGACACUCAUAUUUGAAAACUUUCGAAAAGAUAAAAUCCAAUAUGAAAGGUGAAACGUUAUAAUCAUAGUAACUAGAAAAUUGAUUGAUUUACAAAUAUCAAUUUAAACAAUUUUCAUGUUGAUCGACAAUUUAAGUAGAUUGACAAAGAUUGAAGUAAUUACUGUUGGUGAUGAUUGACUUUGUCCUUAUCCUUGCCUUCUUCUUAUCAAAAAUCCAGUGUCAAUUAAAUUGGGCCAGGGUUUCUGAUUGCAACUAAUGGACUUCAUAUACGCAUAAUGGUCCCUACGUAUAUGCGUACCAAUAUUUGAUUGAAAAAGGGGGUGCAUGCUUAAUGCUCAAGUCGUCUUCUUUUGGAAAUUCAUUGUUAUUACUCUCAUCAACUCGUUCCUCACAUUCCUCUUUAGUCAAAACCUGUAAUAUUUCUUCUAUAUUCAAGGUGAAUACAGCAGCUCAUCAACUCUUAUCCCAGACAGGUAAAGAGGUGCACUUGUUCUAAAACCUGUAAUAUUCUUUUAGUAGCAGAAUCUCUGAUACUUGAUCUUCAUAGCGGUUCUUUCUUAAUUUCCAUAAACUUUCCUAGGAAAAAAAUUCUCUGGUUUUUCUUAAUCAUAUCAUUUACUUUUCUUAAGUCAUAUCAUUUAUUUUUAGUAGCAGAAUACUUGAUCUUGAUAGCCAUUCUUUCUUAAUUUCCAUCAACUUUCCUUGAAGGAUACCUUUCUGUUAAUAGCGAAACCUCUGAUCCUUAAGAUAGAAAAAGAAAUUCUCUACUUAGGUAUCAGUUGGUUCAAAAUCAAUAUCGCGAUGUUGUUUGCGGUCUUUUCUUUCUCUGUCUUUCCCUCUAGUUCAUUUUAAUUUAUUUGUAUUCCUUUCUUUGACAUUUUUAUUCAUUUUAUAUAUAUAUAUAUAUUGUUAAGCAAUAGGCAAUGGCUGCAGAAGUGGGUCUGGCUGCUUUUUCCAGCAUCGUAUCAGAAGGUGCAAAGUCACUGUUCAAACCGAUUAUACGGCAGAUCUCUUAUGUGUUCAAGUACCAGAGCUACGUAGAUGAGCUAAAAGAUCAAGUGAAACAGCUGGGAUAUAAAAGAGAAAUGGUGCAGCAACCAGUUAAUCAUGCUAGGCUACAAGGUGAUGAGCUUUAUGAGGGUGUCACAGACUGGCUACAUAGCGUUGAUGAAUUCAUCAGUAAAGGGGUUGCAAAAUCCAUUAUUGAUGAUGAAGAUAGAGCUAAGAAGUCCUGCUUCAAAGGAUCGUGCCCAAAUUUGAUUUCCCGUUACAAGGUCAGUAAACAUGCAGCAAAGGCCGCAGAAGCUGCCGCUAGUCUCAUGGGAAAAGGCAACUUCUCUAAUGUUUCCUACCGUCCUGCUCCAAAGCGGGCAAAACAUAUGCAAGUGAAAGAUUUCGAGGCCUUUGAUUCAAGAAUGAAAGUAUUUCAAGAUGUUAUGGAGGCGUUGAGGGAUGAUAAGCUCAACAUAAUUGGGGUCUACGGGAUGGGCGGCGUGGGUAAAACCACGAUAGUCAAGCAAGUUGCAAAGCAAGUGAUGGAAGAAAACUUGUUCGAUAAGGUCGUUAUGGCUGAGGUAACACAGACCCCAGAUCAUCAUAAAAUUCAAAACAAACUUGCUUUUGAUUUGGGCAUGGAAUUUGGCUUGAAUGAGAAUGAAUUCCAAAGAGCUGAACGAUUACAUAAAAGAUUGAAGAAAGAGAAGCAGCUCCUCAUUAUAUUAGAUAAUAUUUGGACAAAACUUGAGUUGGAUAAAAUUGGAAUUCCAACCGGGGAUGUUGCUGAGAAAGAUAGAAAGGAUGAUCAGAGAAGAUGCACAAUAAUAUUGACGUCUAGAAAGCAAGAUUUAUUGCGCAUUGAUAUGAAUUCUCAGAAAAAUUUCCCGAUCGAUGCUUUGCCACGAAAAGAAGCAUUGCAGUUAUUUGAGAAGAUAGUGGGUGAUUCAACUAAAAUAUCUACUUUUCAAAGUAUAGCAAAUGAGAUCGUUGAAAGAUGCGGAGGUUUGCCUGUUGCACUGAGUACAGUUGCAAAUGCUCUGAAAACUAAGGAGCUUGACUUUUGGAAAGAUGCAUUGAAUCAGCUAAGAAGAUCGGAUGCAAGAGAAAUUCAUGGCAUGCAAGCAAAUGUUUACACCUCCAUAAAAUUGAGUUAUGACUUCUUGGAAAGUGAGGAGGCAAAAUCUUUGUUUCGUCUUUGUGGUCUAUACAGUGAAGGUAAUGUCAUACAAGUUUCUAACUUAUUGAGAUAUGGUGUGGGUUGGGGUUUGUUUGAAAAUGUUUACACAUUAGAAGAAGCAAGGAGUAGAGUGCAUCGGUUGAUCGACAACCUCAAAUCUUCAUGCUUAUUGUUGGGCGGUGAUGCUAAAGAUGAAGUUAAAAUACAUGACGUCAUUCAUGUUGUUGCCGUAUCAAUUGCCGCAGAGAAGCGCAUGUUUAAUAUUCCAAAUGUUGCCGACUUAGAGAAAAAGAUGGAAGAGACAAUACGGAAAGAUCCAAUUGCCAUUUCAUUACCCCAGAGAAAUAUUCAAGAGCUCCCUGAAAGGUUGCAAUGUCCCAAUCUCCAGUUAUUUUUGUUGUUUAGAAAGGGUAAUGGCCCUAUGCAAAUUUCAGACCUCUUUUUUGAAGGGACAGAAGAACUCAAAGUGUUAAGUCUUAUCAGAAUUCCUUUCUCUUCAUUACCUUCGUCACUUGGUCGCCUCAUUAACCUUCAAACAUUGUGUUUAGAUGGUUGCGGACUAAAAGAUAUAGCAAUAGUUGGACAGCUAAAGAAAUUAGAGAUUCUCAGCCUUCGAGAUUCUGAUGUUAAGGAGUUGCCACUUGUAAUUGGACAAUUGACGAGAUUACAGUUGCUAGAUUUGAGCAAUUGUAGCAGCCUUGUGGUGAUAGCUCCAAAUGUCAUAUCAAAAUUAUCUCGAUUAGAAGAACUAUAUAUGGGUAACAGCUUUUCACAUUGGGAGAAGGUUGAAGGAGGAAGUAACGCCAAUCUUGUUGAGUUGAAGGGGUUGUCAAAGCUAACUACUUUGGAGAUACACGUUCGGGAUGCCGAAAUUCUACCGCAGGAUUUGGUCUCUGUGGAAUUGCAAAGAUACAGGAUAUGUAUAGGAAAUAAGUGGUGGAGCAGCUGGUCCGUUAAAUCUGGAUUAUCAAGAUUGAUGAAGCUCCAGGGGCUGGAAAAGUUUGGCAUUCUUUUGCAAAAUUACAGAAUGAAAAUGUUGCUGCAGAGAACUGAAGAUCUCUAUCUAGAAGAACUGAAGGGUGUUCAGAAUGUUGUUCAUGAAUUAGACGAUGGGGAGGGUUAUCCACGAUUGAAGCGUCUUCGUGUAGAAAGUUGUUCUGAGAUUUUACAUAUUGUCGGUUCAGUUAGACGGGUUGGUUGCGAAGUCUUUCCCUUGCUGGAGUCAUUGUCUCUUAUGUUUUUAACUAAUUUGGAGACGAUAUGCUACAGCCAACUCAAUGAAGAUCAAUCUUUCAGCAACUUAAGGAUUAUAUACGUAUAUUGUUGUGACAAACUGAAGCAUCUCUUCUCAUUCUCUAUGGCCAAAAGACUAUUGCGGCUUCAAAAAGUAGAAGUGGAAAACUGCUAUGAUUUGAAAAUGAUUAUUGGUAAGUGUUGAAAUUAAUUAUUGGUAGGAUUAUUGACACUGACUAAUUCUUUUUUUCUUUUUUUUUUUGGUGAAAAAAACAACGGAUGUUUAUAAUAUAUUGUUUUUGUUCAUUUAUAGGGCCCGACAUGGAGAAACCAACAACUACUGAGGGAUUCACAGAAAUCAAUGCAGAGGAUGAUCAGGUGAUAAUUUUCUGUUUAAUAAUUAAUUAAAAAAUAUAUUAUCGCGAUUGAUCUUCAAUCAUCGAAAGAAUAUUAUAUUAGAAGUUGUAGUUGAAGGAACAAAAAUGUACGGUUUUGCUUUGCAGGUUAUUUUUCCACACUUGGAGGAACUGAAACUUGGCCGUUUAAGAAGCAUCAAAAAAUUAUGGCCCGAUCAAUUUCAGGGAAUGAAUUGUUGUCAAAAUUUAACAAAAGUGACCGUGUGGAGAUGUGAUGGUCUGAAGUAUCUGUUUUCAUAUUCUAUGGUUAAUAGUCUUGGGCAACUCCAACAUCUUAAAAUAAGUUUUUGUAAGUCAAUGGAAGGGGUAGUCAACAACACCACGGGGAGGUUAGGAGGAAGAGAUGAAUUUAAGGUUUUUCCUAAACUACACUCCCUGCAGCUCACUGGUCUUCCAAAACUAAGUAGCUUUGCCUCACCAGAAGACGUCAUUCACACUGAAAUGCAACCUCAAUCUUUCUUUGAUGAAAAGGUUUUUUUUUUUUUAAUUAAUUUUAUUCUCAAUAGUUAAUUUCUUCUUUCGUUGAGUCUUCAAAUCUAAUUGUAUUGAAUUUUUAACUUCAGGUACGACUCCCAAGUCUGGAGGUAUUACAUAUUGUUUGGAUGGAUAAGUUGAGAAAAAUAUGGCACCACCAGCUUGCUUCGAAGUCUUUUAGCAAAUUGAAAAAAUUGGAGAUAUCUGAGUGUGAUAAUCUACUGAAUAUUUUUCCUCCAUUGGUAAGAUUGCUCUAUUCAUUUUCAAUUUUUAUUUCAAAUAACAUUCAACAAUUAUUUUAAUCAUUUUUGUGUUUACAAAUAAUUUUCAUUCACAAAUUAUUUAUUGCAAGUAUUGUACUUCAAACUUCUGGAGGGAAAAAAAGUAUUGUACUUCAAAUCACCAUUCUGAACUCUGCAUUUUCAAUCUAAUUUAUAGGUUCACCUGCAUUAAAGUCAACAAUAUAAUUGUUUUAAACACGAUUUAACAGCAUAAUAUAAUUCAAUUUACUUGUUUUUUUUCUUAAAUCCUAAUAAAUAAGAUUUUCAGAAAUUAAAAGAUACUUAGUUACUCAGCUUUUAAGUUCACAAAUUCAUGAUGGUCAUUUUGAAUCGAUCGUCGAUUAAAAAGUUUCCUCAAAUAUUCACUCUAUAACAGUCCCAUGUUGAUGGCGUUAGGAAGUGUUUUCCAAAAAUGUUUUCCAUUUUUAAAAGCAUGAAUAUCGGGAAAAAAUGGGAAAUACAGCGUUUUAGUUUAGUUAUUUUAAAAAUAGGCAUGUUUGAAAAUUAAAAUUUUUUAAAAACUAGCAUCAAGAUGAAAAAUGAAUUUAGAAUAUUUAAAAAUUACCUGAAAUUCUUUCUCUAUUCCUAAUACUAAAUAGUGUAAAUACAUUUUCAUUAUCUUUAUUUUUCUGGACUUCUAUUUAUUUAUUUUUGUUUUAAUUUUUUCCUUUUUUCUUUAACAAAAAAUAUCUAGUAGACAUUCAUGGUUUGUUAUUUUUCAUAAAACAAUUGUAUGAUUUUGACAUACUUUGAAUCUAGUUGAAUGCUACUCUUUAUUUUCAGGUUGGAAUUCCCAAUAGUCUAGUGAAUCUUAAUGUAUCAUACUGCAAAAAAUUAGAAGAAAUCAUAGGACAUGUUGGAGAAGAAGCGAAGGAGAAUCGUAUUGCUUUAAGUGAAUUAAAACUUUUGGAACUUGAUCAUUUACCAAGGCUUGCCAGCUUUUGUUUGGAGAAUUACACUCUUGAAUUCCCAUCAUUGGAACGAAUUUCAACGACACAGUGUCCGAGCAUGAAGACUUUUUCUCAGGGAACCUUAUCCACACCAAAGCUGCACGAAGUGCAGGUGAGUAAAAAGGAAGUAUUAAUUUACCAAGCCUUUUUAUAUGUGCAUAGAAGAUUCUACACACAUUGCACACACGCACAGUUUACUACUAACAACCUCUAUAACAACCUUUAGCUGACUCAGCUGCCAUGUCAGCAUACUCAUUAACUAACUAAUUCUAUUCUUAACAGGAAGAGGGUGGAUUGCGCCGUUGGGAAGGCAACCUUAAUUCCACUAUACAAAAGUGUUACGAAGAAAUGGUAUGUGUUAAAUCGAUUCGUCGAAAUUACUUAUGCAUCUCCCUUGCACUUGCACAUUUAAGUAUAUACACCUGCCUUGUAUAUAUAGUUUUAGAAGUUAAAACACAAAACAUGUAAGUUUAAUGUACAUAUAUCUAAUGCCUUUCAAAAAGAAAAAAAUUUAUAUAUAUCCAGUGCAAUUGUUUUGGUUUGUGCAGAUUGGAUUCCAUGACAUACAGUAUUUGCAACUCUCACAUUUUCCACGUUUGAAAGAAAUAUGGCAUGGCCAAGCACUGCCUGUCAGCUUCUUCAACAAUUUAGUAGUGCUCACGGUGGAUGACUGCACGAAUAUGUCGAGUGCUAUUCCUGCCAAUCUGCUACGGUGCUUGAACAAUUUGGAAUGGCUGGAAGUGAGGAAUUGUGAUUCACUAGAAGAGGUGCUUCAUUUGGAAGAGCUAAAUGCUAAGGAAGAACAUAUAGGCCCCCGGUUUCCUAGGCUUAACAGACUAAGGCUCAUUGAUCUUCCAAAACUCAAAAGAUUCUGCAACUUCACUGGGAAUAUAAUUGAACUGCCUGAGUUGAGAUAUCUAACUAUUGAGAAUUGCCCUGAUAUGGAAACAUUCAUAUCCAACUCUUUAGUGCACGUGACAACAGAUAACAAGAAACCUCAAAAAUUAACAUCAGAAGAGAACUUUUUGCUGGCUCAUCAAGUACAACCUCUCUUCGAUGAAAAGGUGAUUAUUAUUAUUAUUAUUAUUAUUAUUAUUAUUAUUAUUAUUAUUAUUGUUAUUAUUAUUAUUAUUAUUAUUAUUUUUCCCUUCACUUUCGUUCGCAUAGAUGUAAUUUCAUUAGAAUCAAGCCAAAUUUAAUGACUCAUCUUUUUGCAUGUCAUCUUAAUUUAUAUCUGAUUUAACAAUAUAACCGCAGUUAUUAACUAUCUUUAUAGUAUGAAUUAUAAAAAUGUCUGAAAUUAAUUGGAUGCCUGAUAACACGAGGUGAUGAACUAUAUUAAUUAUGUGUGUUACAUCUCUGUUUUCCUAGCUAAUUCAUAUUGGAUUUAGCCUCAGAUUUCAUUUAUGUGUUUCAAAGAGUAAGCGAUUUGAUACUUUUAUUUGGGAUCCUACUGCAAAGCAUACUAAUUUGGAAAUAAAAUAUAAAAUGCCGUGAUCAACCUUGUCCAUAAAAUAUGCAGGGGAAGACGGCAGAGAUUGGAUACAUAUUUUCAUUUACAACUUAAUUUUGUUGAUUUUCAGGUUGCAUUCCCUAAAUUGUGGGGGUUAAAGCUGUCUAGAUUACCCAAUGUGUUGCAUUUCUGGAAGGAAAAUGCCGAAUCCAACAAAGUGUUUGCAAACUUGGAAACUCUAGAAAUAUCGGAAUGCAGUAAGUUGCAAAAAUUAGUACCACCUUCAUGGCAUUUGGAAAAUCUUGCGACUCUGGAAGUAUCGAAAUGUCACGGGUUGAUAAAUUUGUUGACGCUCUCAGCAUCUAAAAAUCUAGUGACUCUUCAAAGAAUGAAGAUAGCUGAUUGCAAAAUGAUAGAACAAAUCAUACAAUUGCAGGUUGGAGAAGAAGCGAAAGGUUGCGUUGUCUUCGAGGAAUUGGAGUACUUGGGACUUGAUUGUUUGCCAAGCCUAACAAGCUUUUGUUUGGGUAAUUACGCUCUUGAAUUCCCGUCCUUGAAACAAGUAGUUGUGAGACAGUGUCCAAAAAUGAAGAUCUUCUCUCAAGGAGUCUUAGACACACCAAUGCUAAACAAAGUGAACGUCACCGAAGAAGAAAAAGAUGAUGAUGAAGAAGAUGAUGAUGAUGAUGAUGAUGAUGAUGAUGAUGAUGAUGAUGAUGAUGAUGACGACGACGACGACGACGAUGAAGAAGAAGUAGAUGAUGAUGAUGAUGAUGUUGGGAAGGCAACCUCAAUGACACCAUAAAAAAAUUGUUCAAUGAAAUGGUGAGUAUCAAUUAAGUUUUGGUGCUAUUUAGCAAAUAAUUUUAUAGAAACCAAUGUGAUAUAAUAUGAUUGGUUGACUGAAAAUAUAUAAUAAUAAAAAAUAAAUAAAUUAUGAGGACCAUGUAAUGUUUUUGUUUAACUAAUCAUAUUAUAUCGCAUCAGUUUAUACAAUAUUGUUUGUGCACAAGAGGUGGUGGUCAUAUAAUUACUCUAGCUUUAUUAUUCUUAUGGUGGCAAUGUAUGCUUGCUUACACGAGUAAUUACAAAAUCUGCAGAAUUCUAAAGAAGAGAUUGAGCCAAUCCUUCAGGUACAGUGAAGAAGCUAUCCCGAACCAGGCCAAUCUCUUAUACAUGAUUUAGCUUGCUCGUUCUUCUGUACUUGAAUAAUUUGGUUCUACACAUAUUUACAAUUUUUUGCUCAUGCUACAGACUUGCAAGACACUUUGGAUUUUGUUUGAUGUAUUCUCUGUUUAAGAAAGGACUUGAAUUGAUGUUUCAUGUUUCAUGUUUCAUGCAAUAUUCGAUUAGAUUCUGCCUAAAUUUCUGUAUUAUUCAUUCAAUUGGUCUUUUAAGCAUUUGAUUUCUAACCUCUCCUGAUAGAAGAUCAUUAGCCAAAGAAAACAGCAUAAAAUUUGUGGCAUUAUGAGAAUAAGAAUUUUUUUAAGUAUAGUAAAAUUAUCUCAACCAUUGUUAAAAAUAAUUAAUCCGUCAAACUGACCUUCUCACACCAACAUGCUUUAAAUUAAAAGAAUUUCGUGAAAGUCAAGACCAUGUUAUAGAUCUCGUGGAAAUAAGUAAACCCGUAAUUUUUUUCACAGCAUCAUAAGAAAAAAUCAUUUUUUAAAAGUAUUUUUGUUAGCUGUUGAGUUUUAAUAGUAGUAGCUAUUAAACAAUAACAAUUAGUGUAUAUUAAAAAGUUGGAAACCGGUUGACACCACUCGGGAAUCGAGCAGUUCACUUGUUUGCGAGUAGAAACCAACUUUACUACUAUUUACAAUCAUACCAAAAAUAGUAACUAAAGAAUCAGGAAAUUUCCUAUUCACUAUUCUUCAUUUUUUAAUGCAAAAUUCCCAUUCGAAAACACCAAUGACUUUCAUUCAAAGUAAAUGAGAAAUUACAAUGAAAAUAGAAUCAAAAUACAUGUAUGUAUACCUAAAACAAAUGAUUUUUUUUAAUUAAAAAAAAAAAGCACAGUUGAGGUGAAAUGAAACCAGAGUCAUGAUAUCUCUGGUUCCAGCUUUGGGACAACAGCAGACUUGAGUUCUAUAUGAGAAACACGUACAGCACCAAUCAGCCGCUCCGGUAAUUCAGCUGUAGUAUUUGCCUGCAUACAGAAGAGCAAGAUAAAGAAGACACACACAGAAGCAUUAUAUCAUUCUGAGAACAUUCAAGUAUGCAAAAAUGCAAGUGGCAGUGCAAUAUCUCAAAAUCAUGUCUUUUCCCUUGUGUCCAUUUAGCAGUGGGGGAAAAAAACAAUCAUACAUACCUGUACAAGGAAAGCCAUAUCAACCACCAAUGUCGUAAUUACACCAAUUACAAGGCCCAAAACUCCAUUAGCAACAGUAGAAGAAUCGAUGUCAACAUCAAUCUACAGAAAGAUGAACAAUGUUAAACCUUUUUAAAGGUAUUGGACGCUAUUUGAAAGGGGAACAUCUCAUGUACUAUAGAAAUUCCAAGAGCAUUUACUUCUAAGUACUUGGGACCGCGAAUAUAGUUACAAUCAACUGCCUUCCCCAAUAAACAAGGGGUGAUUCCAACACUCUGGCGCACUAUCCAUGAACCCUGCAUGAUUCAGUGCUUAAAAUCAAGAACAAGUGCAAAACAAAUUCAAGAGGGUAAAAAGGACAUAAAGUUUGAAGGUACAACCCAUCAAUACAUUCACACCUAAAUGCAUGCCUUCUUUGUACAAAUUGAAGUGUACCAUGCAGUAAAGGGUAAGUAUACGUUAAUAUAGUCCUACUACAUGAAGGCCAAGAUGGAUACCUUAGGAACAUAUGGAAUAAGUUUCAACCUACUAUUGCGAAAUUCAUCAUCGCCAUCAACAAACCGUUGCAAAAGUGAUCCCGUAACCAAUUGCCUUGUAACAAAAUAAAAUACCAUACUAUAAUGUGUUGAACCAGGAACCUGCAGAUGCUUAGGUUACAACUAUACAACCUCCCAAUACAAUAAGUUUGAAACUUAUACCUUCUGAAAUGAAACAAACUUUCUUGAAGAUUAAAGAUCAGUGAGAAAAGCCCUUUUUCAGAAGCAACCUACAUAUUUUAGAAUAGGGCUCAGUGCGUUAUAGAUUCAAUGAACCAUGAGAAGUUAUUUACAUUGUUGUAUCUCACAGGCAGUAUUUUCUCCUAAUGUAUCAAUGGAAAAUGCUAGUGAAUUGAAUGAAGCUAGAGCAGAGCAUGAUGUUGCUGUGUAGCUGACUUUAGCAGAUCAACUCACUAAGCUGACCUGGCAAAGUUAUUUAGCUAGUUGAGCUGAUGUGUCAAAUUAGUUAUGCAGCAAAUGGUUAUGUGAUGUAACAAACUCGUGUGUGUGUUGAGCAAAUUGUAGCUUAAUAUAAAUAUCAGUCUAUAUUCAUUCAGUUGUAAUGCUAAAGUAAUAAAGGUUCUACAAACUUCUUUACAGAGCUUUCUUUUAUUUUCUUCAUUUUCUAGCUUGCCAAACAAUACAAAACUAAGUUUCUUUCAUGGUAUUAGAGCCAUAAAUGGCGAAUACAGUUCAAAAUAACAACUCUUUUAGUUUUGUUACGCCUGUAAAGCUAGACCAAAACAACUUCAUUUUAUGGCGCGCACAAAUUUUAGCAUCGAUCUAAGGAAACGGUCUGGAAGGGUUUAUCAAUGGUGAUCAAGAAUGUCUUGAGCAGUUUCUUUCUUCUGGAAACAACAAUGGAGCUGAAAUUUUAACUGAAUCUGAAUCCAAAUCUAUUAAUCCAGAGUUCAUAGCUUGGAUGAAGACUGAUCAACUUCUGUUGAGUUGGAUGAUGUCGUCGAUACAGCAAAAUCUACUUGCUACUGUGAUUGACUCCACAACUUCAAAACAGCUCUGGGAGACUCUUACUAGUAUGUUUAUUUCUUAUCUUAAUCACAAGCUAGAAUUCAAACACUUAGAAUGCAGAUUCAAACUAUUAAGAAAGGUGCAAUGCAUAUGUCUGAUUACUUUGCAAAAGUAAAAUGUAUAGCUGAUACUUUAGCUCUAGCUGGAAAACCUGUUGAGUUAAGUGAUCUUGUGAUGCAUGUAUUAACUGGUCUUGAUUCAUCAGAUUAUGAAUCUUUAGUCACAGCUGUUUUAGCUCAAGGUGAGAAGAUAACAUUAGAUGAACUAUAUCCUUUGCUAUUGAAUCAUGAAAAUAGAGUUGAGCAAAAGAAAGGAAAAAUUGCUGGUGAUGUGAUGCACAAUAUGACAGCAAAUAUUGCUCAGAAGAACUCAUAUGCUGGAAAGAAUAAUGGCAAUUUUCAAAAAAAUUAUGGAAAUAAUUCUGGAGGUGGAAAUAAUUCUAGGUAUGGAGGUUUUAGUGGAUAUGGAUAGGGUCAGUUUAAUAAUGGUGGUAAUUCCUCUGAAAUUGUUUGUCAAAUCUGCUUCAUACCUGGUCAUGCAGCCAAUAGAUGCAAAAAUAGGUACAAUUCAUCUUUUGUUCCACAGAGAAACUAUGGCAGAGGUAAUAUGAAUGGUGGCAGAGGUUUUAAUCAAGGGCAAUAUGGUAGAGGAAGAGCUUUUAAUGGUAAUGGUGGCAGAGGUUUUGGAGGUUUUGGUUUAAAUGCUGGUUUUGGCUAUGCACCCAGGGGUUUUGGCUAUCAAGGAAAUAUAGUGUAUCCAGAUAGUAAUCCUUCUGCUUAUUACUCAUUCACCCCUGGACCAUCUACUUUUGUUUCUAGUCAAGGAAAUAAUAAUCCUGGACAGUCAAGUGCUUCAUCUUCCUCAGCUAUGCCUUCUUCACUUCCACCAGAACACAUUGAAGAUCCUUCAUGGUAUAUUGAUAGUGGGGCAACAAAUCACAUUACAAAUGAUCUAGGUAAACUUCUGGAUUCACAAGUUUAUACUAGUACUGAAAAAUUGUUUGUUGGAGAUGGAAAUGCAUUAGCUAUUACACAUGUAGGAUCAGUUGUGCUAAAUACUUCAACUUCUAAACCUUUAAGAACCAUGUUCUUCAUGUCCCUUUUAUUACUAAGAAUUUGCUUAGCAUUUCAAAAUUAUUGGCUAACAAUCCAGUUACUGUUGAAUUUCUUAGUGAUUUGUGUUUUAUAAAGGCUAGGAACACAGGGAAAAUUUUACUUGAAGGUGUUGCUAAAGGUGACUUGUAUAGAGUCUCUUCACAUGUUGCUGCUCAUUCAGUCUUUCUCAAUUCAGUUGGUCAAAAUAAAGUUCACUCUCUUUGCUUGUUCUCCUGUUUUCAAUUCUGAUCAGCUCACUGCUGUUAGUUCUUAUGAAUUGAAUAAAAAGUCAUGUCUGUCAAUUGUUACAAAGAGUUCUAUUGAUGUAAAUCUUCUUCAUAGAGAAAUUAGGACGCCCAGCAUCUUAUACUCUCAAAACUAUACUCAAAACUUGUAACAACUCUACUGCUUAUAAUAAAAUUGAAAGCUUGAAAUUUUGUUCAGCAUGUCAAUAUGGGAAAAAUCAUAUGCUGCAUUUUGAUUCAGUUGAAACAAAAACUUCAGCACCCUUAAAAGUGAUAUAUGCAGAUCUUUGGGGUCCUUCUCAUGUAUGUUCUACCCAAGGAUAUAAUUACUACUUAUCAAUCUUAGAUGAUUAUAGUAGAUUUACCUGGAUAUUUCCAUUGUCAGCCAAAUCUGAUGCUCUUGAAGUGUUUACCAAUUUCAAAAUUUUUAUUGAAAAGCAUCUUCAACUUCAAAUCAAAACUGUCCAAACUGACUGGGGAGGAGAGUUCAGAACAUUUUCCUCAUUACUCAAUGCUUCUGGUAUCCAUUUUAGACACCCUUGCCCACAUAUUCAUCAUCAAAAUGGAAGAAUUGAGAGGAAACAUAGACACAUAGUUGAUGUAGGUCUGACCUUAUUAGCUCAAGCACAUUUACCACUCAAAUUUUGGUGGAAUGCAUCCCACACAGCUGUCUAUUUGAUAAACAGACUUCCAACUCCAAUUCUAAACAACAUUUCUCCUUUCCAAAAGUUAUUUCAUCAUCAACCAGAUUAUUCAACACUUAAAACCUUCGGUUGUGUUUGUUAUCCAACACUCAGACCAUACAAUAGACAUAAGUUUGAUUUCAGAACUACAAGAUGUAUAUUCAUUGGCUACAAUUCACAACACAAGGGAUAUCAGUGUCUUCACUCUUCUAAGAGGGUUUACAUUUCAAAUCAUGUCACCUUUGAUGAAAAUUCUUUUCCUUGUGAGUCUGGAGCAGAUUUUCUUCACUCUCUUCAAGUUGUCAGUCAACAAAAAAUUAUAAGUCUUCUUUCAAUUCCUCUGUUCCUUCUGUUACUCAGUUACAAGCACCUUUAGCAGCAUCAUCAGAACACCAUCAAAAUGUUCAUCAUUCAGAUGCUCCUACUCCCUCACCAAAUUCUACUCCACUUUAUUUUUCUGAUAAUUCCAACUCAGCUUCUUCUUCUUCACCACCACAUAAUUCACCUCCACAUACAUUGCCACAACCUGCAUCAACUGGUCAUCCAAUGAUAACCAGGUCAAAAGCAGGUAUUUUCAAGCCAAAAAUUUAUUUGUCAGCUUUAUUAGCCUAGAAAUCAGAACCAACUUCUGUUUCCCAAGCACUUUCUAAUCCUAUGUGGUAUAAGGCUAUGCAAGAAGGGUAGCACUUAAAACUAAUCACACCUGGGAUUUAGUUUUACCUGCUACUCCAGUGAAGAUAGUUGGCAGCAAAUGGGUGUUUCGAAUAAAGUACAACUCAGAUGGUUCAAUUUCAAGAUAUAAAGUCAGGCUUGUUGCAAAGGGGUUUCAUCAAACACAUGGGAUUGACCAUACAGAAACUUUUAGUCCAGUGGUUAAAGCUUCAACUGUUAAGAGUUAUUCUUAGCUUAGCAGUAUUGAAUCAAUGGGUGAUUAGGCAAGUAGAUGUUAAUAAUGCCUUUCUAAAUGGCAUUUUAAUUGAAGAGGUGUACAAGGCUCAACCUGAAGGUUUUGUUGACUCAACUAAACCUAAUCAUAUCUGCAAGCUGAAUAAAGCUUUGUAUGGCUUAAAACAGGCACCUAGAGCCUGGUUUGAUAGAUUCAAGGAUGCAAUGAUCUCUAAACGGCAUUUCCAACAUUCAAGGUCUGAUAACUCUCUGUUUCAUGCCUGGAACAGUGGUCAUCUAACUCUUGUUUCGGUCUAAGUUGAUAUUAUCAUCACUAGUUCCAGUCCAACACUAAUUCAGCAAGUUAUUCAGAGUAUGAAUCAAGCCUUUGCUUUAAAAGACAUGGGGGAACUUAGCUAUUUUCUGGGGAUUGAAGUCAGCAAGUCUUCACAAGGGGUUUCCUUGACACAAGCAAAGUAUAUUACUGACAUUCUGGAUAAACAUGGCAUGACAGAUUGCAGUCCUGUGCCUACUCCAAUGUCUACUGGUUAUUAUCUCACAAAAGAAUCAGGAGAGCUAAUUGAUAAUGUUUCUCAAUAUAGGAGUGUUAUAGGAGUUCUUCAAUAUGUUACUCUUACCAGACCUGACAUUGCUUUCUCUGUAAACAAGCUAAGUCAAUUCCUUUCAAGUCCUAGAACACAACAUUGGGAAGCAUGCAAAAGGUUAUUGAGGUACUUAAAAGGCACUAUAUAUCUUGGGCUGCAAUUUAAUAACAAAGGAGCUUUGCAACUACAUUGUUUUUCAGAUUCUGACUGGGCUUGUGAUCGUGAUGAUAAGAAGUCAGUGGCUGGCUUUGCUGUUUACCUAGGCCCUAAUCUAGUCUCAUGGUCAUCAAAGAAACAAGCUGUUGUUUCUAGGUCCAGCACAGAGGCUGAGUAUAGAUCUCUUGCUCAUGCUGCUUCAGAGGUUCCCUGGAUAUAAUCUUUACUUGGUGAACUUAACAUCAAAUUGAGCUCUACUCCUAUGAUGUGGUGUGAUAAUCAAGAAGCAAUUGCUUUAGCUUACAAUCCAGUCUAUCAUGCUAAAACUAAGCAUGUCGAAUUGGAUAUACAUUUUAUCCGAGAUAAAGUUACUGCUAUAGAGAUUGAAAUAUGUUUUGUGCCCAGUCAAGAUCAAACAGCAGAUGUGUUGACUAAGGCUUACUUUCAAACAGUUUAGUUACUUAAGAAGGAAGCUGAAUGUUCAUCCUAAACAUUUUAGCUUGAGGGGGGAUGUUAGUGAAUUGAAUGACGUUGGAGCAGAGCAUGAUGUUGUUGUGUAGCUGACUGUAGCAGAUCAACUCACUAGGCUAACCUGGCAAAGUUAGUUAGCUGGUUGAGCUGAUGUGUCAAAUUAGUUAUGCAGCACUUGUGUGUGUGUUGAGCAAAUUGUAGCUUAAUAUAAAUAUCAGUCUGUAUUCAUUCAGUUGUAAUGCUAGAGUAAUAAAGGUUCUACAAACUUCUUUACAGCGCUUUCUUUUAUUUUCUUUCAUUUUCUAGCUUGCCAAACAAUACAAAACUAAGUUUCUUUCAGAAAAGGAAAAAUAAAAAGAAAAGAAUAGUUACUUGUGCAGUACAGCCUUGACGCCUAGCUACAUGGUCCAUUCUCUUUGUGUCUUUGAACCAAUCAACAGCAACAAGAUCCAUUAAAUGUUUUCCCGCAGGUAUCUGCAGUUACAAAUUGCACAAAGCACAAGAGCCAACCAAACUACAUCAUAACCUGUCGACCUAGCAUAUGCAGGAUAUAUAAAUACCAUAACAAACAACCAAAAUAUGGGGGAACCUUUGUUUUGUCAUAACAAAAAUGCUUGCUACGAACUCUAAAGUUAUUUCCACCAGAAAGUUUCCAGCAGUCACGAGCAUUAUCACAGUCAUCGUGUCGCAGGUUGCCUGAAAAAUAAGACAAAUCAAUUUGAUCAGCCUGCUCUUCCUCUAGGGUAGCAACUAAUUGAAAAUUAUAAACCAAAAAAAAAAAAAAAAUCAAUACCAUAAAAAUCCACUAAUGAGGACAUUAGCCAAAUAUACAAAAAUGAAUACUUAUCAUCCACCUGUCCUCUUGAAAUCAUUCUCAAUCUUUUUUUCAUUUGUCUGAAAUCCCAAGGAAAAAUAUGUAACUAAUACUUCCCAUUCAUGACUAUUGUCUGUCAUAUAAACAUGACAUUUAAUUGAAAUAGUAAAAUUAUUUAAUUAUUUUAAUUAACUGUUAAUCCUAUAAAUUAUUUUUGUUAAAUCUAGCAAGAAUAACUAACAUUUCUUUAAGAUAUAUUUUGGCGGUAAAUUAAAAAAAAAUUAAUUAUUUGGCGGGAAUUAUUGAAAUUGGAGCCAUUUUUUUGUGGGAAUUGAAAUAUAUUCUUUAAAUUAUUAUAUAAAAAGCAAAAUGUACAUACACACACAUAUAUAUAAUUUAUAUAUAAAAAUUCUCUAAUUUGUUCACAAGUAUCAUAGAUUAUAAUUCAGUUAUGAAAUAAAAUAACUACAAUAAUUAUAGUUAAGUGAAUACUUCAUUAAUUCUUAAUUUGCUUCCUAACAUUAAAUGAACUUGAGUCAGCCACCUGAAUCAACCAGUAACAACGCCUGAGUCAACCAUCUGAAAAAACCAGCAACCCUAGCUGAUUCAAGCACCUGCAAUUAACAUCAACACAACAGGAACAAUCGUAAAUCAGCACCAAGAACAGACCAAACCGCCAUCAAAUGCCACAAAACCAAACAGUCUGCUACUGCCAUCAAAUGCAAGCAAGCAUAUGCAACAAAACCAGAUGCAAGUGAAAUUCUGGAGAAUAUCGGAUAAACCAAACCAAAUGCCACACUUCUAGUAAUUAGACUAGAUGCAGUGUUCAAUUAAACUAAAUGUAGUCUCAUAUUACAUUCAAAUUUUCUAAAAAAACCAGUGUUCCAUCAGAGAAGCACCAAAACCAAACCAAUCUAAUCCAGCAUAAUUACCAGCUCAACCCAAAACAAUUACACAUUAUAUUGACAUAUCAAAAUUCGCUAUCAAAACAUAGCCAAAUAAAUGACAAUAAACUGAAAACAGACCCGAACCAACUGAUGUUGCAGCCCUAGUAGUCAUUGUCCGUUCCACUGCCAUAGGAGCGAGGGUAGGCUCCGUUGUUGAUGAGUGAGUAAGAUAAGGCUCCAAAUCAAUAGUUCCACCUCCUUUCUGCAAUUCAAAAAACAGAAAUUCAUAUAUGUAAAACUAUUAAAAAGUGUGAAACAACCUGUAAGUAUUCAACUUCUGUCAACUCAAUAGCACUUACUAAAGUUUUUAUACAGAAGAAAAAGGCAUUUUAAGUCCAAAAAAUUAGAAUUAUUGGUUGAACUCCAACUCCAUCAAUCCAUGCAACCAUCGAACCUUUAACGAAAAAAUGAAGCAUAAUUAACAAGACAUCUGAAUCAGAAAGAUUGUGCUUUGAUUUGGCACGAGGUGUUGGAAACAACUUAACAAAUCUAGACACAAUCUAUAACCAUCAAGUCCAAACAAAAGUCAGGAUCUAAAAUACUUUGAAAAAUCAGAAAAACCGCAAACUAUCAGUUUCAAUUUCUUUUUCACCCAUUGUAAGCUCAAACUGAAGGUAGCGGCGCUACCUUUAAACAUCAUUUGGGCUUAUACAUGUGACAUUUGCUCAUGAACAACUAAAGUUGAAUAAGAUUUUUAUAUGAAACGGAAUAUAAAAAGUCAAAGUAGAAUAUGACAGGAGCUACAAUAUAUUAUUCAGCAUUAGCAUUAUGUAUAAAAUAAAUUUAGAGGCAUCAUAUUCAUUCACAAUCUUGCAGAGGUAAUACCAGAUUAUGGCACGCAACUCUUGAAUAGCAGAUAAAGGAGGAGAUGCAGUAGGAAGGUAGUAACUUGCUUGCAUGAGAACUAAAAAGUAAUCUCCCAAGAUCAAUUAUAGAUCUCAUAAAACAAAAACAGUGAGGCAAACACAAUUAUUGUGAACAAUUAUUCAUAGAACCACAUACCAGCAACAAGAUCAAAGUCAUCUGUGUAUAAAUCGAUUCCCCACAGCUGACUGCCUCUGACCUAAACAUAAUGAAAUUACAUAAAUAAGAAGUAGAGUCAUAAAAUAUGCUGCUGUAACAGCUAUCAAUAAAUUUCCAGACAAAUGGAAUUUGAUAUGUAAGGCUAUAACUAGCAACACUUCAAAAUAAUUUGAAGUAGCAUGAUCUUACUUUAAGGAUCAAUACUACAAUCUUUCAGAAAAAUUAAAGUCUAACCAAAAUUAAAACCUUAAACAUACUAAAAUCUGGUAAAUAGACCUAUAGGAAUUCCAAUGACCUCCAAAAUAUUUGAAAAAAAAAUUAAUUUACAGCAAAAAAUGUUAAAGAUUUGUAAAAUGGAGGCCCACACUACUAUUCAAAUUACAAAAGAGGAAAGGGAGCUGGCCAUUAAAUGAUAAAGGCAUGCAUAAAGAAAUACGAGCACCACAUUAAGUGAUAAAGGCAUGCAUCGAGAAAUACAAAAAAUAUGCCCAUAAAGACGUCCACUCAAGCCUUAUAAGCGGCUUUAUGCAAAGGAAAGCCAAUUAGUUAACAGUAAAUGAAUUUCAAGGUGCAAUAAUUAAACUCCCUGAUCAGCACAUUUAAGGUUCAUGCAUUUCUACAAAACAUGUAAAUCAUAAGAACUUUUUUGGUCCAAAUGCUAACCAGUAAUUAAGUAGAUUAUCAAAGUUGUCACAGAACAAGCACCACAUUGAUUGCUAUGCAAAAGAUGAAAGUAAAAGUUAAUACUUUAUUUUAUUUUACUUUUCGAGAGUUUUGAUCAUCAUGUGCAAAAUAGUAGUAUAACUUGCUCAGUGUUAUCUCAAAAAGCUUGCUUAAAAUACCUAUUAGCACCAGUCCAAGUUGUCAAAUAAAUCCUUAUCUAUCCAUUCAUCUCUGACCUUGCCAAAAAGAUUUAAACGAGCAUCUAUAUUCUCACUCCAAUCUUUCACAAUCAUAGGCUUUAACUUAGACCAGUUCUUCAAUAUCCCUUCCACUGUGAGCCCCUCGAAAACCUUGUAAAUUGAAUCACAUUUAUCAUCAGUUCCAAAUCCAUCUGUCAAAAGGCUAAGCAAAUGAAUAUACAAUCAACACCAUUCUUCCAAACGAAUAUACAGUCAACACCAUUCUUCUAAACACAAACAAAGUUUGAACGUAUGACAGAUUUUUAGCCAUUUAAUAUUCCAUCAAAUAUAAUUAGAUCACACCUACCAAGGAUUUUUGAAAAGAAUGCAUUCUCAUCUUAAGCAGCAACCUCACCAGUAACACAUUUUCAUACCCUGUUUCCACCUCUGGUCGCACCACCAAAAAAAAUUCAGUACUAAUUAGCUUCAACAGAGUCUAUUUUUUAUUUCUUUUUUUUCCGAAAUAAACCUCCAUUCUUAUACAUAAAAUUAAAAUAUCAAUUAAAUAAACAAGGUCUAUGCUUACUAGUAAAACACGUCCAUUUUCAGGUAGAGGCAGAUAAUAAAAGAAAAUUAAAAUUGAGAUAAAAUAAGAAGAGCUUACUAUGUGCAUUUGAUCAACAAUCCAAUCCUCAACGAUGGAAUCGAUGCCAUCAAAUAAACAUGACUUAAUCUUGAAACCAUAAACUGCACUAAGCAUAGCACCAAAGCCAGAGCGUGACUAUAAAGAAGAAAAAUAAAAAGAAGGAAAAGAAGAAUUAAAUCAACAUGAAAUUGAACUUUUGUUUUAUCUUCCACAAGCAAGAAAUUCAACUGGAACAAUACAAAAUAUGAAAUUUUUAGCAAUCUUACUAGCAUUAUGCACAAAUCUCAAUUCACGACAAAUAGGGGAAUGAAUCACUAACAUCACUCAAUUCAUAUAUUCAAAUAAUGUAUCCCCACUCCUAACAAGCAACGUGCUACCACAGUCGAUUAGUUGUUAGGGUUAAGGCUUACCAUAGAGAACUGGAUGGCGCUAACUAAAUGACAAGUUGAAACGGCAUCUGCAAUCGUAUUGAAUGACAUUGAACCGCGAGGUAGGGUUUAAAUGAAUACCGGGCAGAGAUAAAUUGGUGUGGUGAAUUAGGGUUUUGUGGCUACGUUUUAUUUCGAUUGAAAAAAGGAAUUUGAGCCAGGCUUUAAUAUGUAAAUUUUCGCUUAGUUGAAACAGAGGAAAGCUUUUGGGUUAUUAAAGUGAAAGAUAUGGAAUAAUACAAAAAAUUAUUGAAGUGAAAGAGCAGGAAUACAAAAAAUCAGCAGAUGAGAUCGUUGAAGAUGCGGAGGUUUGUAUAUAAAUAUUAAAUUGAUCGUUGAAAGAUGUAUAAACCUCCAUAAAAUUGAGUUACGACUUGAAGGAUUGUAUAUAAACAUUAAAUUGGUCUAAUUUAACUUGUAUGUAAACAUUAAAUUCUAUAUAAAUACACAGAACAGAACCAUAUCAGUGUUGGAAAAAAAAAAUCCAGAGUUACAUAAAUUCAAUAAAAAAUUAUUGAAUUUUUUAUUACUAACUUUGAACACUCUAAUUUCAAUAAAAAAAUUAUAUUACUAAAAUAGUCUUAAUUGAAUUUACUAUUAAAGACAUUAGAAUAACUCAAUACUAAUAUUCUCAAAUAUAUUUCUCUCCAUAGUCUAAUCUAAUUCAUUCUAAGAAUCCUAUAGAAAAUCUAUUAUUUACUUUUUCCUUAUUAAACAGAAAAACAUGUCAUUUGUUGCUAACUAACAUUUUAGAACUAACAACAGCAGAUUAAAUAAAAUUAUCAGAAAAAGAAAUCAAACAGGAUUUUGAUCGUCGUCAUCUUCACUCUUGCCUUUUUCUUUUUCUUCACACAUGUGGCUUGCGCACACAUCCCCUCUCUCAUCCUUAGGGCCGCCCUUCAACAAUAUCCAAUCAUCGAUUAUAAUUAUUUAGAUUGACCAAAUCAAGCUUUGAUAAGAUAUUGGUUGAGAUUAGAAGUAGGCAGCCAGCAACGACAAUACUAAUUAAUAUCUCAUGAGAAUUUUAAAGAAGAAUCUAACGUUGCCCAAUUCGUUUGAUUUCAAUGAAGUCUUUCUCCUACCUAUACUUUCGCAUAUUCUCUUUUAUUUCCAAAGUUAAGGUUAUGGAUGUUGUAGAGUUAAAAGCUGAACAUUGCUAGGAAAGCAAUAAAAGGAAAUAAAUAAAAAUUAAAAAUAUAAAAAGAGUUAAGUCUUUUUUUUUUGUCUAUUAGUGUUUUUGUAUUUAAUAACGAAAGAAAAAAAUAAAGUAAAUAUUAUCUGUUAGAUUAUUAAAAUAACACUUGUCCAAAUCUCAAUAUCAUGAUAUUAGGGAAAUUUUUAAUUAAUAGAUCUUCAUUUUUAAUUAGUAGAUAUUGUUUAAUGUAUAAUAUCAUGAUAUUAGGGAAAUUUUUAAUGAAUAGAUCUUCAUUUUAGGCUAAAGCACCCAUACAGUAGUCCCCCCUACGUACUGCGAGCUUACUACAAAAGAUAAGACUAUUUAGUUGUGGGACAAAUAAAGAGGGAAAGUUAAAUAAUAUAAUUCAUUUGUUAUUAUGAACUAACCAACUCAAAACAAAAAGGAUUGAUAAUACAGUUCAAAAUGCAUGCAACAAUGGUGUAUUUAAAAUGGAACUAAUGCACAAAUAAAAUUUAUGCAUCUCUUUGAGGAAGGCUUUUAGGGCAACAAAUGAAAAUAGUGAGCUCGCAUUUUCUGUUAUCAUUCUCACCACUUGAAAAAGAGAGAAAAAAAACUGAGAGGAAAAACAGGGCUCCCUUGUUUUCAUUCCCUAUUUUUUCAGUUUGGGAAUUGCAAAUAACUUCUUUACUUCUCUCUUAUUUUAUUUUUAAAAUUUGUUUUAACUCAUUAAUUCUUUUUCUUGUUCUUGUUAAAGCGUUUAGUAAAUCAUAUGAUCAUCUGAUCAAAUCCCUAACGUUAACAUACCCAUAAUCUAUUAAUAAAAUUUAUUUGAUUUUAUAAUCAUUAAAUUGAAGAUUUGUUCAUGCAAUUUUGUAUGGUGACCAGCUUUCAUUUUUUUCUGUUAAACAUAAGAACAAUUUGUGCAUAACGUCCAGGUUGGAACUCGUAAUAACGAGGCAUCAUUUGUGGACAGAACAAAUGAAAUAACAAAAAAGCAUAAAUCAAGUCAUUAUUGAUCCUACUUUGAUGUUUAGUUUCUUUCUAAGAUGUCAUUCCUCAUUCAAGCUUUUGCUUUCUCUUUUAUCAGGCAUCUCACAAAGCUUUCUCUCUACUAAUAUGCUCUGCAUAUCAUUAGAACAUAUGAAAGCUUUUGCUUUCAAGCGCAAAAGGUAUUUAUUCGUUGAAAACUUUUAACUUGAUUAUUUCAUUAGAACAUAUGAAAUUAGUGCUUUCUUCAAGUUAAUUGAGUUGAACAACAUUUUUUAAAGUAUUUUACCCGAUCCAUUUCUUGUAUCUCACUGCAUGCCUUGUUAAAGAUUCGGCUUUUGGUCUUGAUUCUGAACUUCAAAAAUUAAAUCUUAAAACUCGGGUAUAAAAGGGGUGCAUGAUUAAGUCUUCUUCUUUUGCAAUUCAUUGUUAUUACACACAUCAACAUUUUACUAGGACAUUCGUCUGCAGUUAACAGUGAUCUUUUACUCAUUAAAAUUUUUCCUAAUAAUUUCUUUGAAUACCCGUUCUUACUUAAUAUUCAAUGCGAAUGGAGAAGCUCACCAAUUCUCUGAUCCCAGACAAUUAAAGAGGUACACAUGUUCUAAAUCAUCUAAUAAUAUCUUUUACUAGCAGUUCUUAAUUUCCAAGAAAAAAAUUUCUCUUGUUUGUUUUCAUCUUGUCAUUUAUUUUGCUUGAGUUUUAAGUUAUUGUUCAUUUGUAAUGUCUGUGUUCUUAUUAUUAGCUUUGGAUAAUUUGCAUCCAUUUUUCCCAAAAAAAAAAAAACAAUUAGAGAAAUUGUGGGCUUUUAUUCAGACCCCUGAAACCUUUCUGUUAAUAUAAAAACUCUAAUCCUUGAGCAAAAGGUGGUUAAAAAAAUAAAAGAAAAGAAUUCUCUGUUUAAAUAUCAGUUGGCUUAAGAUCAAUGUUGCUUGCCUCCUGUCUUUUCUUUGUUUUGUUUGUUUGUUUGUCAUUUUAUUAGAUUUGCUUUGUAUCUAAUUUUACUUGGAGAUUAAAGAUGAGUGAGAACUGCCCUUUCUUCUGAAGCAACCUACAAAUUUUAGAAUAGGGCCCAGAGUAUUAAAGAUUCAAUUAACCGCAAAAAGUUAUUUACUUGCAUCACUUGAAAAUUGAGCUGUUUACAUUAGAAAUUUUCAUGCAUUCACGAGCAAUAUCAUCAUGUCACAAGAUAGCCUGAAAAGCAAGUUUCCUCUGUUUUCGUUCCUUUGUUUUCAUUCCCCUGUUUAUUGAAUUUUUUUUUUUUGGCCGGAAAUUAAGAAGAAAAAAUUGGUAAAACAAGUUGCCUCUGUUUUCAUUCCCCUGUUUUUUGUGGAAAGAAUAAACCAAACUUUAAUUUUUUAUUUUAUUUUAUAUUUUGGUUUUUGAAUAUGCAUAAAUCAAAUCAUAUAUUAUUGAUCUUACUUCGGUUAUUUGCUGUUUAGUUUCUCUCUUAAAUGCUUUUUGUGUGUUUCCGGUAUUUGCUUUUAUAAAAGUUUUAGUCCCGAAUCAUUCGUUCAAGGAUUUGCUUUAUGUUUUAUUAGGCAUAUACAUUGCUCUGUCAAUCAAUAUUCAUUUCAAUUUCACAGUACACAAGCAAUGUAUAUACCAAAAUUACUCAAAACACAACAGGUAUUAUUCUAUGAAAACUUAAUUAUUUCUUUAGAAUAUAUGAAAACGUAGAGUUGUGAACUGGUGCUUUCUUCUUCAACAUGCGUCAACAGGGCAACAAUAACCAAAUACAUGAUAUAGAAAAGCGGUGCAUGACUAAUUCUUUUUCUUUUGCAGGUCUUUGUUAUUGCUCUCAUCAACUCUUUUCUCACACAUUCCUCAGCAGUUACCAGUGAUCUUUUUCCUCUUUCAACUUGUUCUUAAAUAUUGAAGGCCAAAUAGAGAAGCUCACCAACUCUCUAAUCCCAGAUAAUUAAAGAGGUGCACGAUUUCUAAAUCAUUGAAUUUUUUUUUUUUUUUGAUAGUAGAAUCCCUGAUCCUUGAUCUUGACAUCUGCUCUUUCUUAAGUUCCAUCUACUUUCCAAGAAAAAAUUUCCUCUGGUUUGUUUUAAUAUUGUAACUUAUUUUGCAUGAGUUUUAAGUUAGUAUUCAUUGUUAAAGCCUGUGCUCUUAUUAUUUCUUUUGGUUAAUUUGCAUGCUCUCCCCCCCCCCCCCCCAAAAAAAAAAGGUUAGAAAAAGAUUAUAGGCUUUUACUCAGACCCUUGAAACCUUUACUGAUAAUACCAAAAACUCUAAUCCUUCAACAAAAGAAAGCAAGAAAAAAAGGUCCUAAGUUUAUUGUCUUUUAUUGGCUUUGUACCAAAAACUCUGAUCUGUUGGCUUUGUAUCAGUAUUGCUUGUUUGUUGUCUUUUAUUUCAUUAUUUGUAUCUAAGUUUAUUUGAAGAAUACAGAUCAGCAGGAAAAGCCCUUUUUCUAAAGCUAACUAUACAGAUUUUAGAAUAGGGCUCAACCACAUGAAAAUAUUUACGUUGUAAUAUCUCAUAUUAAUAAUCUAAAAACAACCAAUCCAACAAGUUCAAAUUCAGUCAAAUCUUAAAAAAAAUUGCUUUUAAGGAGUACAUGAUAGCUAUUAAACUUUGGUUAAAGAUCUUUUGGGCAAACGUGAAAUUAAGUCAAUCAUAAAUCAACCAAUCCAACGAGUUCAAAUUCAUCACUUGCAAAAUUAAGUUUUCUUCCGAAAUUGAGUUGUUUCCAGUAGAAAUUUUCCCGCAGUCACGAGCACCAUCAUCAAAACAAGAUUAUUAAUAUAAGAACAAGAGUUGAGGAAAAAAAAAUAGUUAAAACAAGAUUCCUCUGUUUUCAUUCCCCUGUUUUUUUUCGUUUGGUGAUUGAAAAAUUUUAUCUCUAAACUUUUAUAAUUUUCCAUUAAGGUUUAUAUUUAAAUAAAGAGUUAAAAAAAUCUAAUUCUAAAUUUAUGGAUUGAAUGAUUAUUAUUAUAUUCUCUUAGAAUUGGUUACAAUAUCAAUUAAAUAACGAAUAGAGUUAUUGAUCACUUUGUUAAAAAUGAACAUGUGUUCUGUUUAUAUGAACACGGGCUGCACGCUUUAAGUCUUGUUCUUUUACAAUUCAAUUGUAUUGCUUACUCCCAUAAACUCUUUACUCACAUUCUUCUGCAGUUAACAGUGAUCUUUUGCUCAUUAAAAGUUUUCUUAUAAAUCGAAGGCCAAGAGUGAAGCUCAUAAACUCUGUGAUCCUAGAUAAUUGAAGAGGUGCGUUUGUUCUAAAUACUUUAAUAAUUUCUUUCAAUAGAAUAAUUUCUAAUCUUUGAUCUUGAUAGCAGUUGUUUCUUAAUGUCCAACAAAAACUAUCUCUUGUUUGUCUUAAUCUUGUCAUUUAAUUUUCUUGAGUUUUAAGUUACUGUUUAUUGUUAACUUCUGUGUUCUUUUGCAGUAUUAUUAAUGGUUAAUUUGCAUCCAUCUUCCAAAAAAGUUUUCUUUCCUCAAAAAAUUGUUGGUUUUCCAUUCAGGCCCCUGAAACCUUUUUCUAAAAAGUUGUUUGUUGUCGUUUCUUUCUUUUUCUUCCCCGGUAGUUCAUUUAAUUUAUUUGAAUCCAUUUUUUUUUCAACAGCCAAAAACUAGAUAUAUAUUGUUAAGCAACCGGCAAUGGCUAUAGAAGCGUGUCUGGCUUUUUUAACCAACUGCGUAUCAGAAGGUGCAAAGUCACUGUUCAACCCGAUUACACGGCAGAUAUCUUAUGUGUUCAAGUACCAGAGCUAGGCUACAAGGGGAUGAGCUUUAUGAGGGUGUCACAGACUGGCUACAUAGCAUUGAUGAAUUCAUCAGUGAAGGAGUUGCAAAAUCCAUCAUUGAUGAUGAAGAAAGAGCUAAGAAGUUCUGCUUCAAAGGAUUGUGCCCAAAUUUGAUGUCCCGUUACAAGCUUAGUAAACAAGCAGCAAAGGCCGCAGAAGCUGCCGCUGGUCUCGUGGGAAAAGGCAACUUCUCUAAUGUUUCCUACCGUCCUACUCCAAAGAGCACAGGACUUAAUGACGGGAAAGAUAACGAGGCCUUUGAUUCAAGAAUGAAAGUAUUUCAGGAUGUUAUGGAGGCGUUGAAGGAUGAUAAGCUCAACAUAAUUGGGGUCUACGGCAUGGGCGGCGUGGGUAAAACCACGCUAGUCAAGCAAGUUGCUAAGAAAGUGAAGGAAGAUAAGUUGAUCGAUAAGGUCAUUAUGGCUGAGGUAACACAGAACCCAGAUCCCCAGAAAAUUCAAGACAAGCUCGCUUCUGAUUUAGGCAUGAAAUUUGACUUGAAUGAUAGUAUACACCAUAGAGCUUCUCGACUGCGUGAAAGGUUGAAGCAAGAGAAGCGGGUCCUCAUUAUAUUGGACAAUAUUUGGACAAAACUUGAGUUAGAUGCGGUUGGAAUUCCUUCUGGAGAUGUUGAUGAGAAAGAUAGAGAGGAUGUCAAGAUUGGGUGUCUUGAUAUUCAAAGUUUGAAUAUCAAAAUCAAACUUCUAGAUAUUCAAACUUUGAAUAUCAAAUUCAAAAUUCUAGAUAUUCAAAGUUUGAAUAUCAAACUUUGAAUUUUGAAAUUUUGAACAAUAAUAAAUAAUUAAAAAAAUACGUGAAUAGUAGCCAAGAUUUUGGCUAUAAAUAGAGGGACUCAUUCCCUCAUUUGUUCAUCCAAUUUUGAGAAGAGUUUUCUUGUAUUUAGAGAGAGUUUAGAGAGCUUGAAAUUAUAAGCUUUUGUUUUAGUGUUUUGAGAGUUUGGGUGUAUUGGGAUUUUGGGAAGUGAGCUAAAAUACUACAAUACUUGUAACUCCUUUUCACUAGUAAAAUAUUUCCUUCUGUCUUCGCCCGUGGACGUAGGCUAAAAGUCGAACCACGUAAUUUCUAGUGUCCUCUUUUGUGCUUGUUCUUUAUUUUCUUCCAAUUUUACUUUAGCUGCGUGUCUGCUUCACCCACCAAUUUCCUAACAGUGGUAUCAGAGCUAUUGGUUGUAUUUUUGGAGUCGGGUACUGUUCACGUAAGGGGUACUAUUCACGUAUACGGUACUAUUCAUAAGAAACGGUGGGAGCGAUCCAAGAAUUUUGUGGUGUAAAGCAGGGAAUAGUGGUGUGAGUAAAACAACUGUGUGGUUUUGUACAUGUCUAGGAAAGUUUUGUCACAAAGGCGAUAAGAGCUUAAGGAGUCUGGGUUUUAAGUAGGACCAUUGUGACCCCUCCAGUCUUUCUUGGGAACUUUCCUGGUGUACAUUCUCACACAUACUCACAACUAUUCAAGGAGGUACACUAGCUUGUGUGCGGUAUUUAUCAACAAAAUGGCGGCAAAGUAUGAAAUUGAGAAGUUUAACGGAAAUAAUUUUUCGUUGUGGAAAAUGAAGAUGAAAGCUGUAUUGAGGAAAAAUAAUUGCUUGGCAGCAAUUGGAGAAAGGCCCACGGAGAUAACUGAUGACAAGUGGAACGAGGUAGACGGCAACACCAUUUCUGAUCUACACUUGGCACUUGCAGACAGAGUAUUAUCCAGUGUGGCAGAGAAAAACACAGCGAAGGAAAUAUGAGAUACUCUCACAAAAUUGUACGAGGCCAAGUCACUACACAACAAAAUCUUCUUGAAGAGAAAACUCUAUACUCUUCGAAUGGCGGAAUCUACAAUGGUGACCGACCACAUCAACACCUUGAAGACUCUAUUUUCACAAUUCACAACGUUGAGUCAUAAUAUAGAGGAAAAUGAACGUGCAGAGCUUCUACUUCAAAGUCUACCAGAUUCAUAUGAUCAACUCAUCAUCAACCUGACAAACAACAAUCCAGCGGACAGUCUAGUUUUCGACGAUGUUGCAGCCUCCGUAUUAAAUGAGGAGAGCAGGCAGAAAAAUAAGGAAAACAGACAAGCAAGUUCGCAGCAAGUGGAGGCACUAUCAGUGACGAGAGGGAGAUCAACGGAACUUGGCCCCAGUGGGAGUCAAAAUCAGGGUAGAUCAAAAUCCAGAAGUAAAAUGUUAAAUGCUACAAAUGUGGCAAUUAAGGGCACGUCAAGAAAGAAUGUUGGAGUAACUAGAAGAGAAAAGAGGGCAAAGAACCUGAGUCAUCAAAUGCUCAAGGUUGUGUAGCAAGUACCUCGGAUGAUGGCGAAAUUCUUUACAGCGAGGCAACAACUGUUUCAGAAGGCAGAAAACGACUUUCUGAUGUCUGGCUUAUAGACUCAGGAGCUACCUGGCACAUGACCUCUGGGAGAGAAUGGUUCCACACAUAUGAACCUAUCUCAGGAGGAUCUGUAUAUAUGGGAGAUGAUCAUGCCUUGGAGAUCGCCGGUAUUGGUGCUAUCAAAAUAAAAAUGUUUGAUGGUACAAUUCGCACAAUUGGAGAGGUACGACAUGUCAACGGCCUGAAGAAAAAUCUAUUGUCUUUGGGACAAAUGGAUAGUCAUGGGUACAAAACUCAUGUGGAGAAUGGAAUAAUGAAGAUCGUUAAAGGCGCGCUUGUAUUGAUGAAGGCAGAAAAGAUCGGUGCUAAUUUAUUCAUGCUUAAAGGAGAAACACUACAGGAGGCUAAUGCGUGUGUCGUGUCAAAUGGAGAAGAAUCAACGAUGAUGUGGCAUCUCAAACUUGGCCACAUGUCAGAACAAGGCUUGAAGAUUCUCUCUGAGUGAAAAUUGCUUCCGGGGCUCAAAUCGGUAAGUUUACCAUUUUGCGAGCAUUGUGUUACAAGUAAGCAGCAUAGAUUAAAAUUCAGUAGAUCUAUUGCUAGAAGUAAAUGCAUUUUAGACUUGAUCCAUUCUGAUGUUUGGGAAUCACCGAAUAUAUCCAUGGGAGGUGCAAAGUACAUGGUGACUUUCAUUGAUGAUUAUUCCAGAAGAUGUUGGGUGUAUCCAAUUAAGAAAAAGUCAGAUGUAUUUCCUGUGUUUAAAGAAUACAAAGCGCGGGUGGAACUUGAAUCUGGUAAAAAGAUCAAGUGCUUGAGGACAGAUAAUGGUGGAGAGUAUACAGACGGUGAGUUUCUUGCUUUCUGUAAGCAAGAGGGUAUUCAGAGGCAAUUCACGGUGGCAUACACUCCUCAACAAAACGGAGUGGCAGAGCGGAUGAACAGAACUCUUACAGAAAGAAUAAGAGCUAUGUUGAGGACUGCUGGUCUACCCAAUUCAUUCUGGGCAGAAGCAGCCAAAACUGCCUGUUAUAUAGUAAAUCGGUCGCCAUCUACAACUAUUGGGUUGAAGACGGCGAUGGAGAUGUGGACUGGAAAGCCAGCUGAUUAUUCCUACCUACAUGCAUUUGGAUGUCCUGUGUACGUGAUGUACAAUGCCCAAGAAAGAACAAAGCUGGAUGCAAAAUCUAGAAGAUGUAUCUUCUUGAGGUAUGCUGAUGGAGUAAAGGGGUAUCGUUUGUGGGACACCACUGCCCACAAGAUCGUCAUCAGCAGAGAUGUUAUUUUUGUAGAAGAUCAACUGCAAAGAAAAGAUGGAGAUGAUGACACUGUAAAAGAAAAGUCAGAGACUGUGCCGGUAUAUGUCGAAAAUAAUCCAGAAGAUUCAGAUUCUUUUGAAGCAGCACUAGAGCACGAAGAACAAGAACCAGUCGAGUCUGAGGCUCCAGAAGUUCGUCGGUCAACUCGUGAGAGACGACCGCCGGUGUGGCACUCGGAGUAUGUCACAGAGAUCAACGUUGCAUACUAUCUUCUAACAGAGGAUGGAGAGCCUUCAACUUUCCAUGAAUCUUUAAACAGCUCAGAUGUUGCUUUGUGGAUGACAGCAAUGCAGGAAGAAAUUGAAGCUCUAUACAAGAACAAGACAUGGGAACUUGUACCACUACCACACGGAAGAAAAGCCAUUGGAAACAAAUGGGUCUACAAGAUCAAACGUGAUGGCAAUGAUCAAGUGGAGCGGUAUCGUGCGAGAUUGGUGGUGAAAGGAUAUGCUCAGAAAGAAGGUAUUGACUUCAACGAGAUAUUUUCUCCGGUGGUUCGACUCACAACAGUCAGAGUAGUCUUGGCGAUGUGUGCUACAUUUGACUUACAUCUUGAGCAGUUGGAUGUGAAAACUGCAUUUCUUCAUAGAGAACUUGAAGAAGAAAUAUAUAUGCUCCAACCAGAAGGUUUUGUAGAAAUAGGAAAUGAGAACUUGGUUUGCAGGUUGAACAAAUCUCUAUACGGUCUCAAACAGGCGCCGAGGUGUUGGUAUAAGAGAUUUGAUUCCUUCAUCAUGAGCCUUGGAUACAACAGACUCAGUUCAGACCAUUGUACAUAUUAUAAAAGGUUUGAAGAUAAUGAUUUCAUCAUUUUGUUGUUGUAUGUGGAUGACAUGUUGAUAGCAGGUCCCAACAAAGAUCGAAUCCAAGAAUUGAAGGCACAGUUGGCUAGGGAGUUUGAAAUGAAGGACUUAGGACCAGCAAACAAGAUUCUAGGGAUGCAAAUUCACCGAGACAGAAAUAACAAGAAGAUUUGGCUUUCACAGAAGAACUACUUGAACAAAAUCUUGCGGCGCUUCAACAUGCAAGAUUGUAAGUCAAUUUCUACCCCACUUCCUGUUAAUUUCAAAUUAUCCUCAAGUAUGUGUCCUAGCAAUGAAGCAGAGAGGAAGGAGAUGUCUCGAGUACCGUAUGCAUCAGCAGUGGGAAGUUUAAUGUUCGCUAUGAUAUGUACAAGACCGGACAUUGCACAAGCAGUGGGAGCAGUCAGUCGAUACAUGGCGAAUCCUGGUGGAGAGCAUUGGAUAGCUGUGAAGAGGAUUCUGAGAUACAUCAGAGGAACCUCAGAUGUUGCAUUAUGUUAUGGAGGAUCAGAGUUUAUUGUCAGGGGCUAUGUGGAUUCAGAUUUUGCAGGUGAUCUUGAUAAAAGAAAAUCCACUACUGGUUAUGUGUUUACACUUGCGGGAGCAGCUGUAAGUUGGGUUUCGAAGCUGCAGACUGUUGUGGCUUUAUCUACAACAGAAGCAGAAUACAUGGCAGCUACACAAGUUUGCAAGGAAGCUAUUUGGAUACAAAGGUUAUUGGAGGAGUUCGGGCACAAACAAUAGAAAAUUCCUGUGUUUUGUGACAGUCAGAGUGCCUUGCACAUUGCAAGGAAUCCAGCCUUUCAUUCCAGGACAAAGCACAUAGGAGUUCAGUAUCACUUCGUUCGAGAAGUAAUGGAAGACGGAAGUGUGGAUUUACAGAAAAUCCAUACGAAGGAGAACCUAGCAGAUGUUUUGACCAAGCCGAUAAAUGCUGACAAGUUUAUCUGGAGUAGAUCCUCUUGUGGCCUAGCAGAAACGUAAGUAACCUGACAAUGGCGAAGCAGAAAGGAUGGUGUGGAGAUUGAUUGGUUCUCAAUCAAAUCUCCAAGUGGGAGAAUGUCAAGAUUGGGUGUCUUGAUAUUCAAAGUUUGAUUUUGAAAGUUUGAAUAUCAAAAUCAAACUUCUAGAUAUUCAAAGUUUGAAUAUCAAACUUUGAAUUUUGAAAUUUUGAACAAUAAUAAAUAAUUAAAAAAAUACGUGAAUAGUAGCCAAGAUUUUGGCUAUAAAUAGAGGGACUCAUUCCCUCAUUUGCUCAUCCAAUUUUGAGAAGAGUUUUCUUGUAUUUAGAGAGAGUUUAGAGAGCUUGAAAUUAUAAGCUUUUGUUUUAGUGUUUUGAGAGUUUGGGUGUAUUGGGAUUUUGGGAAGUGAGCUAACAUACUACAAUACUUGUAACUCCUUUUCACUAGUAAAAUAUUUCCUUCUGUCUUCGCCCGUGGACGUAGGCUAAAAGUCGAACCACGUAAUUUCUGGUGUCCUCUUUUGUGCUUGUUCUUUAUUUUCUUCUAAUUUUACUUUAGCUGCGUGUCUGCUUCACCCACCAAUUUCCUAACAGAGGAUGAUCAGAGAAGAUGCACAAUAAUAUUGACGUCUAGAAGUCGAGAUUUAUUGUGCAUUGAUAUGAAUUGUCAGAAAAUUUUCUGGAUCGAUGCUUUAUCGAAAGAAGAAGCAUUGCAGUUAUUUGAGAAGAUAGUGGGUGAUUCAACUAAAAUAUCUUAUUUUCAAAGUAUAGCAAAUGAGAUCGUUGAAAAAUGCGGAGGUUUGCCUGUUGCACUGAGUACAGUUGCAAAUGCUCUGAAAAAUAAGGAGCGUUACUUUUGGCAAGAUGCAUUGAAUCAGCUAACAAGAUUGGAUGCAACAGAAAUUCAUGGCAUGCAAGCAAAUGUGUACACCUCCAUAAAAUUGAGUUAUGACUUCUUGGAAAGUGCGAAGGCAAAAUCUCUGUUCCGUCUUUGUGGUCUGUACAGUGAAGGUGAUGCCAUAGAAGUUUCUGACUUAUUGAGAUAUGGUGUGGGUUGGGAUUUGUUUGAAAAUGUUUACACAUUAGAAGAAGCAAGGAGUAGAGUGCAUCGGUUGAUCGACAAUCUCAAAUCUUCAUGCUUAUUGUUGGACGGUGAUGCUGAAGAUGAAGUUAAAAUGCAUGACGUCAUUCAUGUUGUUGCUGUAUCAAUUGCUGCAGGGGAGCGCAUGUUUAAUAUUCCAAAUGUUGCUAACGUGGAGAAAAAGAUGGAAAAGACAAUACGGAAAGACCCAAUUGCCAUUUCAUUACCCCAGAGAGAUAUUCAAGAGCUCCUGAAAGGUUGCAAUGUCCCAAUCUCCAGUUAUUUUUGUUGUCUGCAGAGGGUAAUGCCCCUAUGCAAAUUUCAGACCUCUUUUUUGAAGGGACGGAAGAACUCAAAGUUUUAAGUCUUAUUGGAAUUCAUUUCUCUUCAUUAUCUUCAUCACUUGGUCACCUCAUUAACCUUCAAACAUUGUGUUUAGACUGCUGCCAACUAGAAGAUGUAGCGGCAAUUGGACAGCUAAAGAAAUUAGAGAUUCUUAGCUUUCGAUAUUCCGACAUUAAGCAGUUGCCACUUGAAAUUGGUCAAUUGGCGCGGUUACAGUUGCUAGAUUUGAGCAAUUGUAGAAGCCUUGUAGUGAUAGCACCAAAUGUCAUAUCAAAAUUUUCUCGAUUGGAAGAACUAUAUAUGGGUGACAGCUUUUCGCAGUGGGAUAAGGUUGAAGGAGGAAGUAACGCCAGUCUUGCUGAAUUGAAGGGGUUGUCAAAGCUAACUACCUUGGAGAUACAAGUUCGGGAUGCCCAAAUUCUGCCGCAGGAUUGGGUCUCUGUGGAAUUGCAAAGAUAUAAGAUAGGUAUAGGAGAAGCGUGGCGCAUGUGACGCGUUAAUUCUGAAACAUCAAGAUUGGUGGAGCUCCAAGGGCUAGAAAAUGUUAGCACUCUUUUGGAGAAUUAUGGGACUAAAAUGUUGCUGAAGAAAACUGAAGAUAUCCAUCUAAACGAACUGAAGGGUGCUCAGAAUGUUGUUCAUGAAUUAGAUGAUGGGGAAGGUUUUCCACGAUUGAAGCAUCUUUCUGUAGAAAGAUGUUCUGAGAUUUUGCAUGUUGUCGGUUCAGUUGGACGGGUUCAUUGUACAAUCUUUCCCUUGUUGGAGUCAUUGUCUCUUUGGUUUUUGAGCAAGUUGGAGACAAUAUGUGACAGCCAACUCACAGAAUAUCAAAUUUUCAGCAACUUAAGGAUUAUAGAAGUACAAUUCUGUGACAAAUUGAAGCAUCUUUUCUCAUUCUCCAUAGCCAAAAACCUACUGCGGCUUCAAAAGGUAGAAGUGGAUGUUUGCGAUGAUCUGGAAAUGAUGGUUGGUAAGAGUUGAAAUUAAGUGUUGGUGGGUUUAUGGACUUCGCCUCAAUUAUUUUGAAAAAAAAAAAAAAACAACGACAAAGAUUAAUUAUGUAUAUUGUUUUUGUUUGUUUAUAGGACCCGACAGGGAGAAACCAACAACUUCUUUGGGAUUCAACGAAAUCAUUGCUAAUGAUGAUCCUGCUCCAAAGGUGAUAAUUUUCUGAUCAAUAAUUAAUUGAUUAAUUUAUUAUCACGAUUAAUCUUCGAUCAUCAAAAGAAUAUUAUACUAGACGGUUGUACUUGAAGGAACAAAAAUGUACGGGUUUUCUUUGCAGGUUAUUCUUCCGAGCUUAGAGGAAUUGAAUCUCAGGGACUUAAGAAACAUGAAAAAAUUAUGGGCCGAUCAUAAUCAAGGAAUGUACUGUUGUCAAAAUUUAACAAAGCUGUACGUGAGCAGUUGUCAUCGUAUGAAGUAUCUGUUUUCGUAUUCUAUGGUUAAUAGUCUUGCGAAACUCCAACAUCUUGAGAUAAGCACUUGUUGGUCAAUGGAAAGGGUAGUCGACACCACGGGGUGGUCAGAAAGAGAUGAAGGAAAGUUGAUUGAAUUAAAGGUUUUUCCUAAACUACACUUCCUGCGGCUCGAGAAUCUUCCAGAACUAACAAGCUUUGCCAAUACGGGACAUAUUCAUUCAGAUUUAGUUGUUGAAUUCCCUUCUUUGCUAAGCCUCGAGAUUGAUACUUGCAGUAAUAUGUUAAGAUUCAUCUCUACGAGCUCACCAGAAGACACCAUUCAUUCUGAAAUGCAACCUCCUCCUCUCUUUGACGAAAAGGUUUCUUUUUUUUUUAAUAAAAAAAUUAAUUUUAGUCACAAUAUUUAAUUUGUCUUUUCCUUGAGUCUUCAAAUUUAGUUAAUAUCCACCUCAAAUUUAGUUAUCAAUUGAUUAUGCCAUUAAUUGAUUAAUUAGUUAUUUAAUCUUUAACUGCCAGGUACGACUUCCUGGGUUGGAGGUAUUACAUAUUAGGUCGAUGGAUAAUUUGAGAAAAAUAUGGCACCACCAGCUUGCUUCGGAGUCUUUCAGAAUAUUUUUCCUCCAUUGGUAAGGUUGCUGUAUUCAUUUCGAAUCUUUUUUUUUUUCAAAUUACAUCCAACAAUAUUUUAACCAUUUUUUGUUUACAAAUGAUAUUCAGCCACUGAUUAUUUAUUUCAAGUAUCGUACUUCGAACCACCACUCUGAAAUCUACGUUUUAAGUCCAGUUUUUAGGUUCGUCAGCAUUAGAAUCAACAAUAUAAAUUUUUUAAACACGAUUCAACAGCAUAAUAUAAUUCAAUUAAAUAGAUUUUGCUCAUAUCUUAAUAAGUACGAUUUUCAAAAAUUAAAGGAUAGUCACUCAUCUUAUAGGUUCACAAAUUCAUCUAUAUAUUUCUCUUUUCCUUAAUUCUUCACAUUUCGAUUGGAAAAAGAAAAAAAGAAAAUAAAAGUCUUCAAAUUUAAUUAAUCUCUUGUUUAGUUACGAAUUGAUUAUGCCAUUAAUUAACCACAAAUUCAUGAUUAUUUACAACUGACCCGUGAUUGUAAAGAAAUUUCCUUGAGUCUGGAAGUACUUAAUAAAGAUCCACUUUACAGCAGCAGUCCCUUGUUGACAAUAUUGGGAAGUCUUUUCCAAUUUUUUUUUCCAUUUUUAAAUGUACAUAAAAAAAGGGACCAAGGAAAAGGGAAAAGGCGGCAUUUUGGUUGAAUUUUUUUUCCCUAAAAGGAAUAGUUGAAAUUUGUAAAUUUAUGCUUAAAAACUGAUAUCAAGAUGCAAAAUAAGUCUAAUAUAUUUAGAAAUUGCCUUAAAUUCUUUCUACGUUCCUAAUAGUAAAUAGUGUAAAUGCAUUUUUAUUAUCUUUGUUUAUCUGGCUUUUAUUUAUUCAUUUAUCUUGUUGCUUUUUUUGUUUAACAAAAAAUUAUCUAGUUGAAUGAUAUUCUUACAUUUUUACUUUUUUAAUAUACACACAUAUGCACACACUUUUGUUUAUUUUCAGGUUGGAAUUCCUAGUAGUCUGGUGAAUCUUAAUGUAUCGAAUUGCCAAAAAUUAGAAGAAAUAGUAGGACAUGUUGGAGAAGAAGUGAAGGAGAAUCGUAUUGCUUUCCGCGAAUUAAAAGUUUUGAUACUUGAUUAUUUACCAAGGCUUACCAGCUUUUGUUUGGAGAAUUAUACUCUUGAAUUCCCAUCAUUGGAACGAGUUUCUGUGACACAUUGUCCGAACAUGAAGACUUUUUCUCAGGGAAUCUUAUCCACACCAAAGCUAUACAAAGUGCAAGUUAGUAAAAAGGAAGAGGGUGAAUUGUACCAUCGGGAAGGCAAUAACCUUAAUUCCUUUAUACAAAAGAGCUACGAAGAAAUGGUAUGUGCUAAUCGAUUCGUCCAAAUUACUUGCACAUUUAAAAAUAUGUUACAAAAAGAUGGUCUGUGUUAAUCGAUUCACCCAAAUUGUUCAUGCAUCUCCCCUACGCUUGCACAUUUAAACAUAUACACCUACCUUGUAUAUGUAGUUUUAGAAGUUAAAACACAAAACAUGUAAGUUUAAUAUGUGUGUGUGUAUAUAUAUACAUAUAUAUAUAUCUAAUGCCUUUCAAAAAAAGAAAUUUAUAUAUCCAGUGCAAUUGUUUUGGUUUAUGCAGAUUGGAUUCCGUGACAUAGAGCAUUUGCAACUCUCACAUUUUCCACGCUUGAGAGAAAUAUGCCAUGGCCAAGCACUGCCUGUCAGCUUCUUCAACAAUUUAUUUAAGCUGGUGGUGGAUGACUGCACGAAUAUGUCGAGUGCUAUUCCUGCCAAUCUGAUACGGUGCUUGAACAAUUUAAGGUACCUAGAAGUGAGGAAUUGUGAUUCACUAGAAGAGGUGCUUCAUUUGGAAGAGCUAAGUCCUAAGGAAGAACAUAUCGGCCCCCUGUUUCCUAGGCUUUUUAGCCUAAGGCUCAUUGAUCUUCCAAAACUCAAAAGAUUCUGCAACUUCACUGGGAAUAUAAUUGAACUGCCUUGGUUGUCGACGCUGACUAUUGAGAAUUGCCGAGAUAUAGAAACAUUCAUAUCCAACGCUGUAGUGCACGUGACAACAGAUAACAAGGAACCUCAAAAAUUAAAAUCAGAAGAGAACCUCUUGGUAGCUAAUCAAAUACAACAUCUCUUCGAUGAAAAGGUAAUCAUUAUUAUUAUUUUUUCCCUUCACUUUCAUUCGGACAGAUGUAAUUUCAUUAGAAUCAAAUCAAAUUUAAUGACUCAUCUUUUUGCACGUCGUCUUAAUUUAUAUCUGAUUUAACAAUAUAACCGUAGUUAUUAACUAACUUUAUAGUAUGAAUUAUAAAAAUGUCUCAAAUUAAUUAGAUGCCUAGUGACAGGAGGUGAUGAACUAUAUCGAUUAUGCGUGUUACAUCUCUGUUUUCCUAACUAAUUCAUAUUGGAUUUAGGAUCAGAUUUCAUUUGUGUUUUAAAGGGUAAUCGAUUUGAUACUUAUAUUUGGGAUCCUACUGCAAAGCAUACUAAUUUGGAAAUAAAAUAUAAAAUGCCGUGAUUAAUCUUGUCCAUAAAAUAUGCAGGGGAAGACUGCAGAGAUUGGAUACAUAUUUUCAUUUACAACUUAAUUUUGUUGAUUUUUAGGUUGCAUUCCCUCAAUUGAGAUAGUUAAACCUGUCUAGAUUACACAAAGUGCAGCAUCUCUGGAAGGAAAAUGACGAAUCCAACAAAGCGUUUGCAAACUUGGAAAGUCUAGAAAUAUCAUAAUGUAGUAAGUUGCAAAAAUUAGUACCACCUUCGUGGCAUUUGGAAAAUCUGUGGGAACUAGAAGUAUCGAAGUGUCACGGGUUGAUAAAUGUGUUGACGCUCUCAGCAUCUAAAAAUCUAGUGAAUCUUCGAGGAAUGAAGAUAGCUAAUUGCAAAAUGAUAGAACAAAUCAUACAAUUGCAGGUUGGAGAAGAAGCGAAAGAUUGCAAUGUUUUCAAGGAAUUGGAGUACUUGGGACUUGAUUAUUUGCCAAGCCUAACAAGCUUUAGUUUGGGUAAUUACGCUCUUGAAUUCCCGUCCUUGAAACAAGUAGUUGUGAGACAGUGUCCAAAAAUGAAGAUCUUCUCUCAAGGAGUCUUAGACACACCAAUGCUAAACAAAGUGAACGUCACCGAAGAAGAAAAAGAUGAUGAUGAAGAAGAUGAUGAUGAUGAAGGAUGUUGGGAAGGCAACCUCAAUGACACCAUAAAAAAAUUGUUCAAUGAAAUGGUGAGUAUCAAUUAAGUUUUGGUGCUAUUUAACAAAUUAUUUUAUAGAAACUAAUGUGAUAUAAUAUGAUGGGUUGACUGAAAAUAUAUAAUAAUAAUAAAUAAAUAAAUAAAUAAAUUAUAAGGGCCAUGUUAUGUUUUUGUUUAACCAAUCAUAUUAUGUCGCAUUAGUUUAUACAAUAUUGUUUGUGUACAGGAGGUGGUGGUCGUAUCAUUACUCUUGCUCUAUUAUUAUUAUGGUUGUAAUGUAUGCUUGCUUACACGAGUAAUUGCAAAAUGUGCAGAAUUCUAAAGAAAAGAUUGAGCCAACCCUUCAGGUACAGUGAAGAAGCUAUCUCGAACUAGGCCAAUCUCUUGUACAUGAUUCAACUUGCUCGUUCUCCUGUACUUGAAUAAUUUGGUUCUAAACGCAUUUACAAA